RNAcentral lists this long non-coding RNA (49015 nucleotides) under Lactuca sativa (garden lettuce). RNAcentral's name for it is "long non-coding RNA (LSAT_LNC008284)". The record is from RNAcentral. Lineage: Eukaryota; Viridiplantae; Streptophyta; Magnoliopsida; Asterales; Asteraceae.
UAUAACUCGGAUUUCGGCAUUCUUUAUAUCCCCGAAAUCCUUGUUUCGACCACUACAACUUUAUGUAAAGAUAUCGGGCUUAUCUCACACUUUAAUUUUGACGCUUAUUUUUAUUCUUAAUUAAUUAAGCCCUAAUAAUCAAGCAUAAAACACAUAAUUCCUUUUCAUUUCUUCAAAAUGAGUUACAAAGGUUAACCUAGACUAUUAACUCAAUAUAAAUGCCUAGGUUAGAAACACGAGUGUUACAUCUUCCUUCUUCCUUGAGACCAAAACUCACAAGAAUCACUCAAAAAGCCUUAGAUAUUCACAAAAACGGCUAGGGUUUGCUAUGAGGAGUGUUUGGGUGCAUAAAGGGAAAAAGUGGCUGCAUAAGGUUGUUUAAAUAGGGUGCAAACCCCCGUAUUAGGGUUUUUGUCGAAACAGCGGCUACUCGCCGAGUCCAGGACUCGACUCGCCGAGUCCUGCACUUAAAUCCCGCGCCUCUUCCCGCUUCUACUCGACGAGUUAGUCCUUCGACUCGCCGAGUCCAGGGCCCAAAGUGCAAAAAUAAAGAAGACUAAUUACAGAACGCAUACCAAGAACCAGGUACUACAGCCUAUACUUUUAUUUGUCUAGAACAAACAGAACAACACUAAAGAUGAUUGACCUUCAUAGAACUUUGAAUUAUAGAGCACUCAUUGUGUUGACCUCUAAUCCCAUGAUCUCACUUCUUUAUAAGUCUAAAUUAUGAAGGCGAGGAGAAAUAAUAAACAAAUUUAUCUCACAGUAAGAGAUUAGGGUUGUGAAUUUGAUUAAUAAUGGAUUACCUUAAUCAAAUAAUCGAAGUACCUUCAAUUUCAUGUUUGUGCGAUGUCAGCAGAGUGGGAUGAACCGGUGGUGGUGACCGGAGUUGAAGUGGGAUGAGUCAUUGGUCCAUCGCCCAACAAAUCUCUGCUUUCACCGAAUAGGGUUUACUGGAUUGUAAGUUGGAGUGAGAUCAUGAUGGUGAUGUUUCUUGACCCAACGAUGGGAUGACAGAGACGACGACUAUAGAGGAGGGAAGAGGAGAAGGAAGUUGGGUAUUUGGAAGGCUGUAUGGGAGAACCUCCUCGCCAUAAGAGAGUGGCAACGAUUGAAUGAGGGAGGUGGCAGGAUGAAGGAGGAACCAUGCAUCGGUUCUAGGGCAUUUAAAUGAAUGAAUUGUAUAAAAAAUAUUUGAAAUUACAAAUUUGGUCCCUUAAUUUUAUUAGUUUUUAUUUAAAUUUUUAGGGUAAAACAGUCAAUCUGUAAUACUUAACGAUUUGAUGUUUAACAGCAUCCACCAAAAGGGACCAGCAUUGUAAUUAUUCAAAAUCGCAAGGACCUAACAUAUCAACUUUUCAAAGAUUGGAUCAAACUUGUGAAUUUGACCAAACCGCAUGGACCAUUUCUACAAUUUACUCUUAUAUAGAUUUGAAUUUUAGUGUUUUGUAAAAAAACAAUCUCUUUAUUUUUAUUUUUUUAAAAUAUAUUCCCUUUAACUAUGUAAAGUUCAAUUAAUACAGUGUAUAUAGAAUUUAAAUGGGAAAAUUAUAUGAAUCAUGGAGGAUGUCACAUUUUAUUAAACUUAAAUAUAAUGUAUAAUGGAUGGCUAGUAUUUUUAUUGGGAAAUUUAGCUUUCUUGCCCUCUUCCUUAUGUUGUAUUUUAUAAUGAAUAUUAGACGAAUGCCUACGUGUUAUGCAAGUUAAAAUUAUGUAGUUAAAAUUUUGAAAAAUAUGUAUGGUUGAGAUUUAUUAAUUUAUUGACAUUACCUAUAUAAUAAUAAUUCUUAUAAAUAGAUAAAAUUAUAACUUUUUAUUAACAAUAUGAUUAGAUAGACAUCUAUUAAAAUCAUAUUUUACAAAUAACCUUCACUUGCAACUUAUGUAUGAAUAAAAUUAAAUAUAACUAUCGAUUUAGUGUUAUUUUUAACAAUUGUAAUGAUUAAUUAAUUUAAACAUUAUGAAUUUGAUUAAGUAUUAUUUUUAAUUAUUGUUAUGGUUAAUUAAUUUUAAAAUUAAUUUAUUUGAUCAAUGUUAAAACCUAAUGAAACACAUAUACAUGAAUUACUUCAAAAUCUAAAUUGUAAAAAUAAACACAUAAUAAUAAUACAAAAUGUUACUUGUUUAAAACAUAUCGUUCGAACCUCAGUAUUUCAUGACUUUCAACUGAAGGCAUAUCAUGUGUAUUGCUCAUGACUUUAACAUAUCCUAAGUAAUUUACAAUUAAUAUAUAAUUAAUCAUUAUAUAUUAUUCAUGUCAUACACCAUCUCCUAACAAAAUUUUUGAUUAUUUUGGGCUUUAGUUUUUUUUAAUAGUUUGUAAAAUGAUAACAAAUAAUAUAACCUUCAAAUUGAAUAUAAGGAAUCAAUAAACUAUAUUAAAAUAACAAACAAAAGCAUAAAUUCUAAUAACAAAAACAAUAUGAAAAAAAAUAUAUAAUAAGAAGAGAAAACAAAGAGGAAAUCGUAAUAAUAAUUUCUAUGACCAACAUGUUUAUCACAAAAAACUAAAUUGUUGCUUAUUUUCUAACCUCUAAAGUAGAUUUUUUAAAAAUAAUAAACAAAUACAUAUAAUCUAAUAAUAGAAACAACAUGGAAAAUACAAAAUUGAAGUUUAAUAUAAAGAAAAAACACAGAUAAAAUCAUAAUAAUAGUUUAUUUGACCACCAUACUUAUCACAAAAACUAAAAUAUUGGUUAUGUUCUAACCUCUAAAAUAGAAUUUUAUGUCUUCUUAUAAAGUAUUUAAUCUACCACACAAUCACCUAUAAUUCUCCAAAACCUACUAACAUAAUUUCACUAGUAUAUAUAUAUAUAUAUACACACACACUAGUGAAACUAAAAGGGCUGUGAUAAUCACACCCCUAGAGAACUAAUCAUGACCUUGAAGAAUUGAUAUGUAAGCUUGUUUCAAGUCAUUCCAAGAAAAAACAUGUAUGAAGACUUGGGGUAUUUAGACCAUGAUUGGUCUUAAGUUUUAGUAAAAAGUGGACGUAAGAAGCUACAAUUGAGUAGCUUUAAAAAGUACAAUGUCAUAAUAAGAAAAAAACAAAGAUACAAUGUUUUUGAAUGUUGACUGUGCUCCAGUUAAUUGAUUAGUGUUACAACCUAAAAACUAGAAUAAAAAUUUUCAUUUUUAAGAAUACGAGAGUUACAACCAUCACAUUGUUCCAAAAACCAACCCGUAAUAAUAAUGUCAAAUCAUCAUAGUACAAUAUCAAAAAUGUGGAAAAUAGUGAGGAGUGAAUGUUGCGCCAUCAAGCCGGACCAUUCCCUUUAGUACCAGAAGUACCUGAAACAACAAAUAUAAAAUGUAAGCAAAAUCUUAGAGAGUUUUCCCAAUGUACCACAUACACACAAAAUAUACAAGUGCCAUGGGCUACCGACAUGGUCUUUUCUCGCAAUGCUUAGGGCCAAAUCCUCGUCUUACAUACGAGUGUCAUGGGCUACCCCCAUAGUCUUUACUUGCGUUGUUGAGGGCCAAAUCCCGGUCUUACACACAAGUGCCAUGGGUUACCCCGAUGGUCUUUCAUACAUUUAUCACAAAGGCAACACACAUUUCACAUAACAAGAAAUGGGCCGAUAUUGGUGCCUUUGACCCAUUGAUAUACUGAGAAAACUCAUCUCAACUGCUGAAAUCCCAGAUAAACACUCUGGCUGCUAGACUGGAGAUAUUCUCGUGCUAACUAAACAAUAAAGUCCCAAAAACAGUUGGGUCAAAAUCUGGACUAAGACUUACAACACUUGCCUAAUGUACAAAAAGGGAUGGGCCAAAUUAGACUUCAAAGCCCAAUAAAGUCUUAGGCCCAAACCCAAGGAUCAUCCAAGUUCCAAUAUGAGUCUAGCAAACUGAAGUGGCCCAACAUAAGGAAGUCCAAGGCCCAACCCCAACAAGCAAGCCCAUCGAUUUGGGCCUUAAACACACUUCGAGCUAAACAAGGCCGUAUGUUCGACGUACUCAAUGGUAAGCACAACGUACCUGGCCAGAGCAUGAAGUUCGUGACUAAGGAGGCAGUACGCGCGACGUAAAGGAAGCUACGCACGGCGUACGCGACCCCCAUGCAAUAUAAGCGAAAACGUCUUAACGCCUUAAGACCAAGCAACUAAAACUCAGAUCUGAAACCAUACAUUAGAUUCAAGUUAUUCUUCUUCUCCUUCUCUUCUAUAUUGAUCUGACAUCAUCCAAUUGAUUGGGAUUCUGCACCAUCAAUUGGAUCUGAUUGACACACAAGCAAUUUUGGGGACUUACAAUUGGUUUCAGAGCUUGGUUGUAUCAAUUAAUUUUUUCAGAUCUGGAGCUUAUUUAUUCUUAUUUUGAAAAGAUAAUAGCGUUUUUGGAUAGAUCUUGCAAAAAUAAGGGGGGUUACUUCUUUGCAUUUUUCAUAAAAAUGAGUUUUUGAUCGAUUUUUAGAGCAAAAAAGUGUGAAAAACGUCGUUUUUUUCACGAAUCUGUUGAAGGAGUGCGGCUCAGCAGCCUCGGUGUGCGGCUCGGAGUAUACGGCUCGGUGUGUGCGGCUCGGAGUGUGCUCCUCGGUGUGCGGCUAGGGUUUCGGUGUGCGGCCUCGGUAUACGACUCGGUCUCGCCUCUGGUUCACGGCUCAGCAGCCUCGUUCUCGGCUUCGCAGCUCUAGUCCUCGCUUCGCAGCCGUCCUCGCUCAGCAGCCUUCGUAUAAAAAAAAGAAUUGAAAGUGUGGUGCCAGGGAUCGAACACUAAAACCUCCGGGUCAUUGCCCCAGCGUCUUACCAUCUCGUCUAGGAGGCUCCUUGUAUCCUACAUCCGAAAUUUCGACUAUAACUCACCCUUUUCGCCUCUAAUUUCGCAAAUUGACAUUUUCAACCCCAAAAAUUCAAAAUUUUAUUUUUAAAAUCCUUUUUUCAAGCCAAAAAUUUUAGUUUUUAAAUUUUAACUUUUAUUUUUGAUUUUUUACUUUAAAUUUUGACGUUGACUUUUGUUGGGCCGUGUUUUGAAUGUUGCGUCUAUUGGGCUCGUUUGUUAGUCCGUUUUUUGUGUCUUCGGUAUGGGCCUGUCCAUCCGUGAGAAUAGUAGGGUUUAUUAUAAAUAUAGGUGCUUGCAUGCAUCUUAGGUUAACGAUAGAAAAGGAAGUAACGAUAUAAUAGAUUGAUCAGAGAAGUUUUAUUAUCGUUCUUGUAACCCUAAAUCCUCUACAGCGGUAGUUCUUAGUCGAGCUCUGCUGAGGAUUGUUUGAAUUAAUCAUUCGACACAUUGUGAUUCAAUCUUGUCUUGUUUAUUGUUUUAUGUUCUUCGCACUACCUGUUACAAAGAUCUAAUCGAUCUCCAAGAUUAUUUAAUAUCUUAUCAAUUGGUAUCAGAGCAGGAGGCUGUGUAAUUCAUACACAUCUUUUCUGUGAAAAAGGUUGCGAUUAGGGUUAUUCCGCAUUUACUGAUAUUUAUUGAGCCGUCAUCCCAUAAUUGAUGUAACUCAACAUUUAUUUGUGUUGCCCUAAUUUAAUAUAUUACAAGUCUGAUCUUUUAAACAGGUUUUUUCGAUCAAGCAUUGACGAGUCACAAUCUAAUCCCAUUAACAUCUCAAACAACAUUGGAUCAACGACAAAGAUUCCCAUCCUUUACACCCAGGAUUACGAGGUCUGGGCACAUCACUUUGAAGAUUAUGUCAUCGGAUCUGAGGACAAUGGAUAUCUCAUCUGGGAAGCAAUCGUAUCUGGACCAUUCGCUCAUUCAGCAACUUCAAGAAUUAUUAAAACUCAGAAGGAGUAUAAUGAUCUUUUGAAAGACGUUAAAGAUAUUGCUCAAGACGAAAAAGAUAAAUUUCAGUGCAAUAUUAAAGCAUUGAGACUAAUCAGAUUCGCUCUUCAAUCUGACACUUUCAGGCUAGUGAGUUCAUGUAGCACUGCCAAAGAAAUAUGGGAUAGGCUGCGAGAGUUAUAUUCUACGGACGAAGAUCUCGAGCAUUCCAUUCAAACCUUGCUUUUGUCCGAAUUUGGUGAAUUCAAGCAGAGUCCUGAAGAAACUGUAACUCAGACGUUCGAUCGCUUCAAUCAUCUUCUUAGUAAGAUGAUUAAACAUGAUAUUGAAAGGAAGUUGAUUGAACAAAAGGUUACAUUUUUAAACGGUCUCAGAUCUGAGUGGAGAGCGGUUGUGUCCACUGUUAAAGCGCAUGAGCAAUUCAAAUCUUACUCUUUGGCGAAACUGGUAGGGAUUUUGAAAUCCCAAGAAAAGAUUGUGUUACAGGAGAAAAAUGUGGUUUCAAGCUUGGGAUCAUUGGCCCUUCUGUCCAAAAGCAAAGCUGUGAUGGAAGAUGAAGACCUCAACCUAGAGGAUUAUGACCUUACCUCUGAAGACUAUGCAAUGAUGGUCUCAAACCCAAAGAGGUUCAUCAAGAAAAGGUUCCCUACAAAUAAGAACCGAAAUUGGCAGGGAAGUUACAGUUCUGAAAAGGUUAGGGAAGAACCGAAGGCAGAAGAACCAAAGAAGGAACCGAAAGCUGAAGGAGAUUCGGGUGUGAGCUGCUAUUAUUGUGGAGGAAAGAACCACUAUGCCAAAGAUUGUGUUCUCAAGAAAAUGGCAGAAAAGGAUGAGGAGAAAGACGAAGAAACUGUGCUGUUGAAAAAGCUGGAAGAGAUCAAAAGAAAGAAAUCCACUGCUAACCCCUCUAUGAAUGCUUUAAUUGUGCAGGGUUCGGUAGCGGAUGAUGAGUUCGGUGGCGUGGAGGUCUGGUCAACCGAUUCUGAGGACGAUGAAGUCAGGAAGCCAUCUCAUGGAAAGGCCUAUGUUGCAAAAGGUGAAGGGAGCGGUGGAAAGUGUUUAAUGGUGUCAGACGUGUCUCAGAUGAGGGGAUACAACACAGAUGGUGGGAAUGAAGACACAAAGGAGCGAGAGGACUUGUGCUUCACAGCAAAACCUCUCAGCGUGCAGUUUAACGAGCUUGAUGAAUUAAUCAAGAAGGUACAAUCAGUUUUUGUUUCAUUCAAAGUCCCACAAAGUUCAUAUGAAAAGGAAUUAAAAAAUGUUAAUUCAAGAAUCUCUCAUCUAGACAGCAGUUUAACUCAAACACGAGUCACCAAUUCUAACCUAACUGACCAAAUAAGCAGGGUAUCUUCAAAGAGUGAGGAACGGAGGAUGUGGAUCGAGCUAAAGGAGUCGGAGUUAAUCAAAUCCAAGGAUGAAAACAUUUAUUUACAAAGAGACAAUUUAAAACUUUUAAAACAGAGAAAUGUCUUUUGUUUAAUUGCUAAGCGUCUUUACACUAAUAUCACUCAACUUCAUUUAAACUGUGAAAUAGGGCAGAAAAUUCAUCGCAUGAUUUUGCCCUUCCUUGAGUUUAAGGAGGAUGAAAUUGACGCUGAAGCAUAUAACUGUGAAAGUGUUGUUUCGUCUGAGGAUGUUAAUCCGACAUAUAUGUAUGGUCUAGACAAAAUCGAAUCUUUCAUAAAGUCCAAGGACCAUAAAGACAUGCUGAAAAAUCUUUUGGAUGAAAAUGAUAAACUAAAACUAAGAACCGAAACCAUACAAAAGUUUGACUCAUUGAAUGCCAACCUGAGCUCAGAAAAUAAAAUUGAUGUUGAAAAUGCAUCUGAGCUCAAUGAGGACGAUGAUAUGAGUGAAAUUUCUGUUGAAGACACAGUUGACUGUUCAGAGUUUGUCAAGAGCGAACCCAAAAACCACAAAAAUCUUAUUUCAGAAAAUUCUGUGGAGUUUGCUCGUCUGUCCCAACAAAAGUCCCCGAUCCUUGAAGAAAAGGCUGUUGUAUACCAAAAGGUGAGAACAACUCCAAAUCAGGUGUAUAAAGUCACAGGCGUAACAGAACAUCAGACAGCCGAACUCACAGCUAUUGUAAACGAAGACAAUGCUGAUGGUUGUGAUGAGUUCUUCUGGUCUGCUCCUAUCGACAAUGCUGACGAAACAGUUGGUCUGUCAGAAAGGACUUCAUGGAAAACCAAAGGCAGAUAUGUGCCAGAGCCUUUGAACAAGCCUGAUAGCUUCGACGUGCCAAGUACUAGUGGUACAAAAGAUGUUCCUGAAGAAAAAGGAGUUUCUGCAAAAGAAGUCACUCCUUCAAGCGACACAUCAUCAGUUCAAAGUGAACCAGCUGACAGAAAGCAAAAACAAAAAGCGAAUAUCCAUCGUCAGCCGAAGCAGGUGAUAAAUCAAAAACAACAAAGGAAUCAGAGAUACAAGAAGAAUCUCUCUAAAAGAAAACAGUUAUGGCAAUCUCAAAAUGACCAUUUCUCUUAUCAUGAAAGAAAUCUAAAGUCAGAAAAAAGCACUGUUAGGUCACAAGAGAGUAAUAACAACCGAAGAGAGAGGUUCGGUUCUGAAAGUCAAAACAACCGAAAGGAUACGUUCGGCUCUGAAAAUUUUGACAACCAAAAGCAAAGGUUCGGUUCAGAAAACACUAUCUACCGAAAGCAGAGGUUCGGUUCCGAGAGCAAAAGAGACCAAAGAUCUAGGUUCGGUCCCACUAAUGAUCAAAAACAAAAGGGUCACUUAGAAUCUCAAGCCAAGAACUCAUCUCAGUCUAACUUCUCUCGUUCUACUUCUUCUAAUUCUUCUAAUUCCUCUCAACCUCAUUCUAAAUCCAAUUCUGUUAAUACUCAAAAUCCAAAAUCUUCAACAGAUUUGAAAGGAAAAUCGAAGGUUUCCUCAGUCAAAACCGAUCAAAAGCAUUCCAAUGUCCCAGUGCCUAAACCUGAAUCCAAACCGACAGUAACAAAUCCCAAUAAAAUUAAGGUUUUCACCAUUAAAAAGAAAGAUGAAACAACAUUAAUAAAAAGAACAUAUCUUGUUGACAUCUCUCUUACUAUUCCUGUUCCUGUGAAAGGCUCACGUGGACCCAAGAAACUUUGGGUUCCUAAAUCUGCUUAAUUUUUGCAGGUUAUUAGUGACGAGCAGUUUGACGAAGAAUGGUACAUUGACAGUGGUUGCUCGCGUCACAUGACAGGAAGGAAGGAAGAGCUGAGGGAAUUUAGGUCUCUUUCAAACGGUGGAAAUGUCAAGUUCGGGAACAACUCCUUCGGCACCAUAAAAGGCUAUGGAAUGAUUACAAAUGGUGAUUUUACGAUUAGGAAGGUUGCAUACGUUGAAGGACUACAACACAACCUCAUCAGUGUAUCUCAGCUUGUUGGAGGUACCGGUCUCAAGGUUUCAUUCGAUGAUGAGGGUUCGGAAAUAAUUGAGAAGAAAACGAAAAGAGUCAUUCUCAAAUCGGAGCGCAAAGGCGAAAUGUUUCCCCUGAACCUCAAACCCAUCAAAGGGAAUCCAACUAUCUGCCUGUUAUCCAAAGCACAAUCUAACGAAAGCUGGCUGUGGCACCGAAGGCUCUCUCAUCUCAACUUCAAGGAUAUCAACAAACUUGUCACAGGUGGUCAUGUUCGAGGUCUUCCAUUGCUCAAAUUCGAUCGAGAACAUUUAUGUGCUGCGUGUGAAAUGGGGAAGCAGAGUCGUCAAAGUCACCCAUCGAUUGUAAACACUAAAGUUGUUGAACCAUUAGAGUUAAUUCACAUUGACUUGUGUGGUCCAUCAUCUAUCGAAAGCAUCGGCGGUAGCAAGUAUAUUCUUGUCAUCGUUGAUGAUUUCUUGCGUUUUACAUGGGUGUUCUUUCUGAAGCACAAAUCUGAAGCGACUCUCAAGCUGAAGACGUUUAUCAAGCAGAUUGAAGUACAGCUAAAGAAAGUCGUUCGCAACAUCAGGAGCGAUAAUGGUCUAGAGUUCAAAAAUAAAGAAUUCGAAGAAUUCUUAGCCGACAAAGGAACCAGUCAUAACUUCUCAGCUCCCUACACCCCUCAACAAAAUGGGAUUGUCGAAAGACGAAAUCGAUCUUUGUGUGAGACGGCCCGAAGCAUGCUAAGUUUUGCUUCGUUACCUUUACAUUUUUGGGCUGAUGCUAUUGCUGCUGCUUGUUUUACGCAGAACAAGUCAUAUCUCAAUAAGCGAUUCACUCUCACUCCUUAUGAGAUCAUCAACAACAGGAUGCCAAAUGUCAAAUUUUUCCAUGUAUUCGGCUCACGGUGCUUCAUCUUCAAUUCUAAAGAACAUCGUAACAAUUUCGAUGUCAAAGCCGAUGAAGGGAUAUUUCUGGGCUAUUCUCUCACUUCUAAAGCGUACAGCGUAUUAAACAAGCGCUCGAGGAAAAUAGAAGAAACCUAUUAUGUGACUUUUGAUGAUAGCUAUGUCAAAAAGCUUAAGGACAAAGAAGACACAGUUGGAGAAAUCUUUUCUCACACAGGCCAAGUCACAGCCUCGAUUGCAAACCUAUCUGAGAAGUUCGUCGAGUUAUUUGAUGAACCAGAGAAGGCAACUCUCUCAGAAGCGAGUGCAGCAGACAACAAAGUAGAUCAUCUGAAGCAACUCAUCGAAGAUACUGCAAAGAGAAUGAAUGAAGGAGGAUCAAGUUCUGACGACCCUCCACAGCACGAUACUUCAGUUGAGGGGGAGGGCACAUCUUCGUCAUCACAGGCGAGCUCACAUGUUGAGGGGGAGAACUAUUCUCCAGCUGCUCCCGAAAGCUCAUCUGCACCCGAAAGUCCAGUGGUACCCGAAAGCUCAACACCGCACGAAACUCCUAUAGCUCCAGAAACUCAAGACACACCUGAAAGCUUAUCUGUCGAGGGGGAGAAUGCAGAUAUGUCUUACGACUAUGAUAGUCAAUCUGAACUAGAAGAGAUGGUAAACGCUGAAUUGGAUCCAUCUUAUGAUCCAAAUUACCCUCCUCUUGUCAAAUGGACCAGAGAUCAUCCUGUUUCUCAGGUUGUCGGUAAUGUCUCUGAAAAGGUCCUGACCCGAUCACAACUAAAGGCAAAACAAACUUCCUUAUUUUCAAAAGUAGAAUUCUGUAUGUUUAACUCCUUCGUCUCAAAAGUUGAACCAAAGACAGUUAACACUGCUCUUGAUCACUCCGAUUGGGUUCAAGCUAUGCAAGAUGAACUAAAUGAAUUCGAAAGGAAUAAAGUUUGGCGUCUCAUUCCAACUCCUCAAGAUGCCUCAGUUGUUGGUCUCAAAUGGGUCUUCAGAAAUAAGAUGGACAAGGAAGGCAACGUGAUACGAAACAAAGCCCGUCUGGUAGUGAAAGGAUACUGUCAGGAGGAAGGAAUCGACUAUGAAGAAACUUUCGCUCCUGUUGCUAGGCUGGAAUCCGUUAGAAUAUUUCUUGCCUAUGCUGCACACAAAAACUUUGAGGUCUACCAAAUGGAUGUCAAGUGCGCAUUUCUAAAUGGAGAACUUGAAGAAACCGUGUACGUGGAGCAACCUCCUGGAUUUGUCAAUGAAAGGUACCCCAAUCACUGUUACAUUUUGGACAAAGCCGUAUAUGGACUGAAACAAGCUCCGAGGGCCUGGUAUGAAACGCUAACCAAGUUUUUAAAGAUGUCCAAAUUCAAACAAGGUUCGGUUGACCCAACCUUCUUUCGUAAGAAGGAAGGUAACCACCUUAUGAUUGUUCAAAUUUAUGUCGAUGAUAUCAUCUUUGGCUCAACGAAUCCUAGCUUAACGGCUGAAUUCAGAAAGCUGAUGGAGACUAAAUUUGAAAUGAGCUCAAUGGGUCCAAUUAACUUUUUCCUUGGUUUAAAUAUUAGACAGGGACCCGAAGGCAUCUUUAUUAAUCAGGAAGCUUACACGAAGACUCUCCUUGCAAAAUUUGGCAUGAUGGGAGAUUCAAAGGUUAAAGUUCCAAUGGCGUUCGGCACCAAGCUUACUCCAUCAUUGGAUAAGCCAGCAGUUGAUAUUACGCUAUAUCGCCAGAUGAUCGGUUCACUGAUGUAUCUUACUGCUAGCAGGCCUGAUAUCAUGUUCUCUGUUUGUUACUGUGCUAGAUUUCAGGCGAAUCCACGUGAACCUCAUAUGCUUGCAGUGAAGAACAUACUCCGUUAUCUCAAGCGAACUACCUCUUUAGGCCUAUGGUAUCCAUCCAACUCAGGCUUCUUCGUUCAAGCCUACUCAGAUGCAGACCUUGGAGGUUGUGGACUAGACAGGAAAAGCACCACGGGAGGCUGCCAAUUCCUAGACGGGAAGUUGGUUAGUUGGCAAUCAAAGAAACAGACAUGUGUAUCUCUGUCUACCGCUGAAGCAGAAUAUAUCGCAGCUGCCUCCUGUACCUCUCAAGUGAUUUGGAUCCAAAGUCAACUCCGGGAUUAUGGACUCAAUAUGAAAAAGAUCCCACUAUAUUGCGACUCAGAAAGUGCAAUUAGGAUCUGUCAUAACCCAGUGCAACACUCGAAGACUAAGCACAUAGCACUGAGGUAUCACUUCAUUAAAGAUCAUGUGGAAGAUGGGAACGUCGAAAUUCAUUUUGUUCGAACCACUGAUCAACUGGCUGACAUCUUCACCAAAGCUCUUCCUGAAGCAUCGUUCAACAAAAUUCUACAAGGGCUAGGUAUGAUGGAAUCGGAGUCAGUACCAAACAUUACCUCUCAAACUCAAAAGUAAGAAGCGAAAUAGACCGAACGUUCGGGUUCGGGUCUUGUACUAAUGUACCGAAAUGAACCGAACGCUCGGGUUCGGUUGAAUAAUCUGCUUUUCGCUCAUCAAUCAAAGGUAGUUUUCUUGGUUGUAGAUCUUAUGUAUAAUUGCUCCAAUUGCAUUUAUUUUAUUAUCAAAGUUAUUCUCUUUUUAAAACCUAUUUUCUUUGACAACCGAAAUAUACCGAACGUUCGGGUUCGGUUCCAAAAUUUUUCUUACCCGAAAUAGACCGAACGCUCGGGUUCGGUUCCAAAGUUUUUCACAACCGAAAUAAACCGAACGCUCGGGUUCGGUUCCAAAUUUUUUUCUCUCUGUAAUUUUUUUUCUUUUUUCUUUUUUUUUAUUUCAUCUUUUAUUUAUUCAUAAAAACUCCAAAAAUAUUUUUUUUAUAAAUUCAAAAACUCCAAAAAUAUUUUGUUCUUUAUUUUCUUUUUGGCUUUAAUUUUAUGUGUGUGUUCGUUUAUGGGGAAAUUAUUGAAUUAGCUAAGUGUCCCUAGAAGCAUGCUGCUGUAUGUGUCCAAAGCCUCACCUGAUUCUGAAUAAUAGGCCUUACUGACUUGGUAUAAACAAACCUUGUCUUCCCAAUUAGGCUUCCUUAUUUAUUCUAAUCAUGAGCUACCUAACUCUCUUCUCACAUGAGAUAAGAGUUUUCUGCUUGGUCCAGUUUUUCACAGCAGAGGUACUUUGUUUUCUUACACCAUCUAAAUUGCAUUUCUCCAUCACUUUCGUUUCACAAAAGUAACCCUUGAGACUCUCAGAAAUUACCACUGAGGUUUAUGGUUACACAAUUUCUGUGUUUAUGAUCUUAGUUUCGUGUCACUACGAUCUAAGUGAAACCCAAAAUUCAAUACCCAAUACGAAUUGACGGUGAACAAUUAAUUUGCUCUAGUUUUCACUAAUGAAUUGACGUACGUACCUCCUUGAAAUCUCAAAAUUUUCUUUUGUGUGAUUCCUAUGAAAUUGUUAACACCCAUAACAUUUCUUCCCUUGGGAUCCAGUUUUAAAUUUUUGUUGAGAUUUUUUUUAAAAUGUCCUAGCCAAAUUAAAUUAUCUCCAACCUACUUGUUCAAUAGACUACACCGGUCUCACAAGUACUUCGUUCGAUUUCUGUCUUAUAUCAAGACUAGGAAUUUUGAAUCGAAGCGAUAGCCACCUUAAUAAGCCUAGUUAAAAGAAGCCUUUCAACACUUCUUAAUAAGUGUUUGAUCGUUAUUCAACGGGAAACCACACAAACACAUUAAGGUCUCUCUUGACUUUGGAGGAAGAGAUUCGUGUCCGGGAUCAUUUGUUUCGUGUCUUUAUUGACAUCACAUUUUUUUCCUAAAAAAAUUUGCUUUAUUUCUUUUCUUUUACACCCUAAGCACGAAAAUCUUUGAUUUUACAAAAUUCAGGUUCUAUUAAUUACAAGGAUUUUUUCUUGGAUUGGCAGUCGAUUAAAGGCUGUGGUUGAUUUUAAUCCACGUGGCGGUAUUUUUCAAAAGAUGUCGUUACAAUUCAAAGGGAUAAGAUGAAGACAUGCUGACUCAGGCGGGAGUCUAAUCGAUUUGAUUUCAAACGGCGCUAAAAGGGAAAGCGUGUGAAUCGGAAUCGUUUAAUCUCCAAACGACACAAGAAGGGCGCGUGUGAAUCUGAACCGUCUCGUCUCCAAACGGCGCCUGAUGGGAAGGCGUGUUAUUUGGGAUAUUACACUCUCUCUCAUGCGUAAUCAUCGGCAACCCCAACUGUCAUGCAUCAGUCAACUCCGGGAAAACCCUUCGUUUUUCGAUAGAAGAUGUGGGAAGAUCUUUCUCUCUCCUUACCCCACAGUAUAAAAGGCAACAUCCUCCACCGUUUACCUCUUUACUGCAAUUAAAAUUCCCAGAGCGCAAGAAAUCCCUGAACCUUCACUGUUCAUCAUCUUCUCCACUUUCUUCAAGCAAUGGCAGAUUCAUCUUCUGUUCACGCAACAUCCCACAUACUGCCCAUUCGCCCACAACAAAGCCUAAUCAUCGAUUUAUCCCCUCAUGUUUACGAUGCCUUCAUGUUCCCCAUUAUCGAGUGUUUGAAGUUUUCGCCGAUUGCUCCUGCACUUACAAGAGCUGAAUCCGUUCCGAUGGAGUUCUUGUCGCAGAUCUUUGCGACUGCUCACUACGACAAGGUCGUUGACAGAAUCUUCUUUGAUAUUUUUCAGCAUAAGGCCUCAAUUUCAAAACAAAGAUUUUGCUCGUUGUUAGGGUUUGAACCUGAUUCUUCGAGGGUUAACGCUGAAACGAUUCCAAUGGGGCAUUUGUUCAACAUGUUUUACAACAUGGGUUAUACGGAGGUGCUUACUACGGUCACGAAGUUCAAGAAGUCGUGCCUACCGCCACAGUGGAACGGGAUGUUCACUGUUCUAUUCAAAUGGUUAUGUAAAAGAAGUGCUGGAUCUGAUGGUGCCAGUCGGUUGUUUUUGUCCAUAAUGUAUGGUCUCUACAAUGGCAUCAACAUGGAUUAUGGGUCUGUUCUNNNNNNNNNNNNNNNNNNNNNNNNNNNNNNNNNNNNNNNNNNNNNNNNNUGAUCACGAAAUGGGUGAUGGACAAGUACCACGUCCCCAUUGUCGCUGGUGCUCCAAUGUCUUCGAUUGGUACAUUCCAUACCACAAAGAUUAUUGUAUCGGACGCUUCAAAGUUUCCAUUCAACGGUUCAAUUCCGGAAACUAUGUAUGGAGAUGUUCCAGCUGAUAGCCGGAUUAUCAGAACAUACAAAGAAUUCAAGCGUUCUGGUCCGAGGGAUCUCACUCCGGAGAUGUUGAAGUCUAUUCAUGACGCCGACAAGCCUGCUCCAAGAGGCAAGAAGGCUGAUAAAGGGAAACAGGUGGCGAAAGGGGCUAAAGGCCCUUCUCCAAAGAAGAGGAAACCAACCAAGGCUGCUCAGUCUCCGCAGCAAAAGCACCGAAAAACUCAGCCCAAGCGAAAGCUGAUCAUUGCUUCCUCCUCAAGCGAUUCUGAGGGUGAGAGUUCGGAUUCUGACGAAUCUCCACGAGGCAACACUCCACCCAGAUCUCCUACCCCAGAGAUUCAUGUCUCUACUUCUCCCAUUAAUUCUCCACCUAGAACCAUUCCUUUUUUUAUUCCCCCCAUAACCUCCACUACUUCAAUACCACCCACUUCUAUCCCAAUACCAACACCAAUAUUCACCGAAGCAACCACAACAUCCACUGCAGAUGUUAGAGCCAAUGUAUCUGAUACGGGGGUUCAUACUGAUGCACCCGAAACCACUCCAGCACCCGAAACCACAAAAGCACCCGAACCUACACCAACACCCGAAACAACCCAACCCGAACCUACCCAUACUACUACACCACCAGCUUCACCACCACCACCUUCUCCUGGUCAUGUUUCAGAGGGUGAAGAACCAUUCCUUGGCGGGGAAGAUAUGACGUUUGACUCGGUCUACUAUAGUCCGUUUCAAAUACAGAGUGAUGACGAUGACGACACUCCUGUCACCAAACGACAUCUCAAGGAGCUCCAUGACAAAGUUGAUUUACUCAUCGCCUCAUCUUCCACUUCUCAGUCAUCCCUUUCUGAAGAUGCAGUUCAGAAGAUUGUUGAUGCUUUCUCAAAGGCUCAGCAAGAUUCCAUUGCUUCUGCAACCUCCGCCAUCGACGCCUCAACAAAAGCUUGUCAGGAUGCGACCGAAAAAGUCGAUAAACUAUUUUCUGAUGCCUCCGUCCUGUUACAGUCUUUACAGGAGAGUGCAAAUGUUGCUAAGACUACGUUGGAACCAAUUGUUCAACAGUUGACAACGUCUGUCUCAACUGAGUUGAAGUCCUUCGCUUCAUUUCGUCAAACGCUUUCUGACGACAACUCAGCAUUUCGUGCAACCAUUGACGAGCGUCUCUCGAAGCUACAAGAAGAUUUGGCUGCUGAGAAUUCUUUGAUGGAUGUUCUAGCCAAGAAGACCACUGCUCUGAAGGUCAAGAGUGUUCAACUUUCCCACUCUCAACAGGUGAUUGACUCUCUUCGGUCCGAAAGGGAGGUGAUAAAGUCGUGUGUUUCGGAUGUCCACUCUGCCAUCUCCAACAUCCUCGAAGCACAUGAUCCCAUCCUUAACUACACUGUGAGGCGUGACCUUGCAGAGAAGCUCGCUCCCGCCCUUGGCCUGCUAAGUAAACUUGAAGGGUUACUUGAUUUCGUGUCCAUUCCGAAACAAGGGGGAGAGAAGGAAUCUGUAUCCCAACCACCUCAUUCCUCAAAGGCAACUCACACUACCGAACCUCCUCCAGUGGGCCAAGCCUCCGGUUCGGGUGUGAAAGACAAAGGCNGGAAGAAGAUGAAGAUGAAGAGACUAUCGCUGAUCUUUUAAAGCGAAAACGUCGAAAUGAUGAGGCUGAUGUCAGUGCUUAUGUGGCAAUAGAGGCUGAAGAAGCAGAAAGAAAACAGAAGGAAGCCCACGACCUUCUUGAGAGUAGGAAAACUCUUUUUCCUGGUUGGACUCUCGAGAGGAUGAUUAAAGAGCCAUCGACACUCCAAGUAUCUUGUGGCUGGAACUUGUAAUAUCACUUGAUUGUUCCAACACUGUCGACUCUCAAUUCGACAUGCCUCUGACCCGAAAGGCGUUCAUCUUUCACGCCUUCGCCAACGUUUUAGAGUUCCCUCAUCCUCAUCCACAGGUUGAUCGGGACUUAAUCGAUUUCUAUCUGAAGGCUGCUCAACCUCAGUAUCAGACUUGGAGCGCUCAGAAGAUUAUCAACGUUCGGGUCUUGAAGCCGUAUAUUGAAGGGAACUUCAUCAACAUUCAGUUCUAGGUACUUCGGGGAUCUGCCAAAACCGAACAUGCCAUUUCUCUUGCAGAUCUUCAGAACCUCAAUCCCCAUGAUUGGAUAAUCUUGCACAACAUCCUUCUAACCAAUGAAGCUGAAUACGGUCCGAUCAUCGACCAUCUCAAGAGGAUGCUGGUGUGCUACAUCAUGGAAGUUGCACUGAUGGAUCAGGAGAUUGCAAGCGUAUUUAAGAAGAAACCAAAAAUAUCUCCUGUUGGCUCGGCCAGUGAUCUGAACCAAAUGCAGAUGGGUAGAAUUGACUCAAGAAGGAAUUCAGUCAUGUUCACCAGAAACGAAGGACAGAAAUGUCUUUUUGCCUUGGCUGACAAACAUCUGUACACUACUGCUUGCUUAGAGCAUGUUUUGGGGAUCAUCCACAGAUGCAAGCAAAACUCAGCGGAUGAUGUCAAGUACUUCGAUGACAUGAUACAAUGGUACAUUCGGUUCAGACAGACUAUUCUCGCUCUUAUCNCACCACAAAGAAAGUUCCCGCUGCUGGCCUAAGCAAGAAGAAGAAGUAGUCUCGCUCCAAUUUGACGCAAAGGGGGAGAUUGUUGGGUCGUGUUUUGAAUGUUGCGUCUAUUGGGUUCGUUUGUUAGUCCAUUUUUUGUAUCUCCGGUAUGGGCCCGUCCAUCCGUGAGAAUAGUAGGGUUUAUUAUAAAUAUAGGUGCUUGCAUGCAUCUUAGGUUAACGAUAGAAAAGGAAGUAACGAUAGAAUAGAUUGAUCAGAGAAGUUUUAUUAUCGUUCUUGUAACCCUAAAUCCUCUACAGCGGUAGUUCUUAGUCGAGCUCUGCUGAUGAUUGUUUGAAUUAAUCAUUCGACACAUUGUGAUUCAAUCUUGUCUUGUUUAUUGUUUUAUGUUCUACGCACUACCUGUUACAAAGAUCUAAUCGAUCUCCAAUUAUUUAAUAUCUUAUCAACUUUUAAAAAGUUGACCUUUGACUUUUAAUUUUGACUUUCUCGUUUGACUUUUAAUUUUUCAAAUUUGGCUUUUCGGUUUGACUUUUCAAGUUUGGCUUUUUAAAUUUGACUUUUAAGGUUGACUUUAUUGGUUUUUUUAGUCAAAGGGCAAUUAAAAAUAUAUAAAAAAAUAAAAAAUAAAUAAAAAAAAUAAAAAAAAGAAAAUGAGUUCCACAUCAAUUCCGGUAAAUGAAGUUUCAUGUACUCCAUCUUGUAAAGCUACAAUUAAAUUUCUUCGCGAACAGAUUGACUUGUUAAAAAGAGAAAAUGAGGACCUCAAAUAAGAAGGCUAUACUCUUAGGAAAGGACAGAAACCGUUAAAAGCUCAAUUAGAAACAAAAAUCAAGGAUUUCCGGAAAAUACAAGAAGAUUACAGCAACAAGUGUGAAAAUUAUGAUCACAUUAAGAAAAAACUUGAUGCUGUAACUGAAAAACUUGACGUUUUGAAAAUAAAGUGUGGAAAAACAGAUGUUAGUUUCAAAAAUUACACCGCGUCAAGUAAGACAGUCGAGUCCUUAUAUGAAACCCAAUUAAAAUUCAAAGAAAAUCAAAACAAGGGUCUAUGGUAUGAUAGUGUUCCUCCACCAUUCAAUCAUAACUACACAUCCAUCCCUAUAACACAGGACGAAAUUGACAGGGAGGCACAUCUUCGAUAUGGAAAACCAGUUGGAUUUGUGUCAGGAGGUAUUCAAGUUGAAGAUACUAAUGCUUCUACUUUAUGUGUAGGUAAAGUAGCAAAGGAUGAGAACAAGGAGAACACCAUUGAACAAACCAACAUCUCCUUGAACUUUGAAUCUGUUGCUUCGAAAUCAACUGCUUAUGAUCACCCUGCCGUUGAGAAAUAUAGGCCACCAAUUCCAACGCAACAGAGUUCUUGUUGCAAGUGUGCAUGUGGGAACAACAAGAGACAAGGCAUGGAUACUGUGACAUCCCUAAAAUCUCGUCCAGAAAAGACCGGUUUCAUUUAUGCUUUUUAAAAUAAUUUCAGAGUAAAUCCUUUUGAUUUAAAAGAGUUGCGGAAUUUGUUCCCAAAACAAAAUAUGAUAAAAUAAUAUUUAUCAAAGCAUUUCAUCAAGAGAUGCAUUUCCAUUAUAUAAUCAAAACUCGGNAACUCGGGAUGUCAUGUUCCGAUAUAGACCAUAAAGCAUAAAUGAUAACAUUACAAGUCAUUCAACAAAUAUAUACAUAUACAGACUUGUAAACAAAACAACUCGAUGAUUCAUCCAUCUUAUGCCCUUGCGCCACUUCCUUUAAUACAAAUAAAACUGAGUGGGUCAGGCUUGAGAGCCCGGUGAGCAUAUAGGGUUUUCAACCCACAAUAAAUAAAUUAUAUUUAAUUUCACCAACCAACGAUAUCCCAAUCACCCAUUCCCGUUAUCCUCUGUCACACCCCUAAACCGGAACGGCGGAAACAUUCGGGGGCGGAUGACUUCAUGUGGUAGCAUAACAAAUGAAUACAUAGUAAAGAAAGCAGUUCCCGAGCCAGUAGUACUCGAGUUGUUGAUCUGUGACAUGGCAGCUGCUACAGCUACGGUGACUGUUGCUUGGAAUAUGACGGCAUCAAAUUGAGGAGGUGGAGGUGGUGGUGGUAUAGGUGCUUCCNNNNNNNNNNNNNNNNNNNNNNNNNNNNNNNNNNNNNNNNNNNNNNNNNNNNNNNNNNNNNNNNNNNNNNNNNNNNNNNNNNNNNNNNNNNNNNNNNNNNGUUACUUUCUUCUAACGCAUAAUUAUGAAGUAUUUUAUACGAAAAAUGUGUUAUGUGUAUACUUUUGUUGUUAUGUAUGUGAAUGUAUAUUCACUCUCUUCUAUCUCAUAGAUCUGAUUUAUUUUCUAUGAAAUACGUGUUAUGUGGGUGUGCCUCAUCUGUUAUGUGGAAUAUGUAUUGAAUGAAAAUGCUAUACAGGUUUUAAACUAUGUAUGAAAAUAUAUAUUUUUAUCUACUAAUAUGUUGGGUAGAACAUGGGUAGAUAGUUGGUGUGUAAUAAACAGAUGAGAGGCCUCGAUGUUGUUGUUGUUGUUGAUCUAGUUAUUCAGCGGAGUAUGGAUAACGACCACGGACUCUUUCUAGACAGUCCAGUGGAACGCUAGCAGGUUCAUAACCUGUAGGUGUUGUGAACGAUGUGUUCACCGGUGUACUCUAUCCCCUCAUGGUUGCCUUUAGGAUAUCUAUUGUUGUGGAAACCCCUUAGCAGUAAUGUCAGUCCCGAUGAAAAUCCUAGAUUAGGUCCCUUGAGAUAGAUGUUGUUUUAGGGACGUAAAGUGAGGAUGUGACAACCCGAUAUUUCAACUCUAUGUAAUGACCUAAAAAGUCAAGUAUUGUAACCACUUUUGUGAUAAUGAAAUUAAAUUCGGAAAUAAAAUGUCUAAAAAGUUCUUAUUUAAUUACCUACUUGUUUGAUGUCAUUAAACCAUGAUCGUACGUAAAAAGAACGCCCAAAUCCGACUUCGUAUAUUGAAGUUAUGAUUUUUCCAAGUUCGGCUUAGCGACAGACAGCUAAAAACUCGAAUCGGAGAUCGAACGAAUUUUGACCGGAAUGACCUAAACGAGAAUCAAAGGUCUCGACAAUGGUAUUUCAUCGGUAAAAAGUCUGGCAAAAACAGACGUCAGAUAAAGAAGUUAUGAAUUUCUAACGGAAUUUCCUUAACGCGACAUUUUAAAAAUAAAUAAUAAAAAUAAUUUCAAAAUUUGCCGACGGAAUCUAAACGAAAGUUGUAGAGCAUAGUCUCACCUACGCGUGGAUAUAAAGAACGUCGAAAACGGAGUUCGUAUGAAGAAGAUAUGAAUUUUAGAAGUUUAUAUAAAAUUUAAAUUUUAUUAUUUAACCUUGGUAUUAUCCGAAGGCAAGUCAUCAGAUAGGGUCGAGUUACGCCCAACGUAAGCUUGUACGCCCAGCGUACUCAAGGCCUAGGCCUCGCAUCGUCCACAUCUCGCCCUAUGCGAAGCUAGCACCCGUCCCAUCCGAACUCCGAGGCAGUCGAGGAUCCGGUCAUGCGUGACGCACGCGUACGCCCAGCGUACCGAGGCGGUUCCCACCCCUUAUAAAAGGGAUGCGAGGGUUCCAAAGAAAAGGGCCAUUCUCUCUCAUUUCUCUUGCAUUGUUGCCUCGUUUUUCGUGCCCGUGCUAACCCGAAGCCCCGAUCACUUUGCUCAAGUCCCGAAGGUCGUUUGUACUCCCGAGAUUCCCGAGAAUCCCGAGAAAAUCCGUUUUCCCGAGAAGAAAUUUUGCCCGGUUUUCACCUCGCCUUUCUUCGAUCUUUCAAGUGAGUUCAUACCCCCUUAAUUAACCCUUUUAAAUAUUCUAUAAAUGCUUUUAUAUGCUUUCAAGGGGGGGGGGGGANAGUAAAACACACGAUUAUUAUCGUGUGUUAUAUAAAGUUUUAUUAUACACUUUUAUUCAACAGAAUCAUAUGUGAUUUAUAAACUUUAUAGGGAACUUUCGUAUAUAAAAUAUAUCACGAUAACAUUAUAUCUUUUGAAAUGUAAAAUGUUGUCAUAUAUGUAUAAAUUAAACAUUUUGCUUAGAUUAUAUGUAUACGUGUCCAACUUAGACACUAUAAAAAUCUAUACUUUCAUAACACGUGGUUCAUUUUCUAGGGAUUUCUAAAUAGACGAGACACACUUUUAGAAAGCUAUAAUAGGUAUAGUUUUACGAGNNNNNNNNNNNNNNNNNNNNNNNNNNNNNNNNNNNNNNNNNNNNNNNNNNNNNNNNNNNNNNNNNNNNNNNNNNNNNNNNNNNNNNNNNNNNNNNNNNNNUUAUAUCAACAUUAAUGACAAGCCCAGAAACACAGGCGUUACAGGUACGCCACCAAUGGCAGGAAGAAACAACUCCACAGUGAAGAAAAAGACAUGUUUUCACUGUGGAACACCUGGACACAUUGCCAGAAAUUGUCCUAAUCGAGCAUAUGUUCCCUACUAUGCACAAGGAUGACAAAACACGCAAAGUGGGAGAUUCUACAAAAGAAACCCUUCGAGGCCACGUUCGGACAAUGACGACUGGAAUGCAACGAAGGGCAAGAGUUCAACUCCUAAGGCCAAGAAAUCAAAUCCCAAGGUCAAGAAGGGAAUGUCGGCCAAGAAGCCAAAUCCAAGAGAUGCUCCUAUGAAGUCAAAAUCAAAGUCAUCUCAACGGCCGACAUCUAGAUCAAAAACAAGUACUGAGCCACCCAUCAGAUCGGAAAAGAAAUGGGUUAAACCCAACUACAAANUAAAUGGGUUCCGAAGGCUCAGUCUCCCAAAUCUUCUAACGAUUCUAAUAUUUAUACAUCUUCUGUUUGUGAUAAGCAGGAUAUGUCAUGGGAGAAAGUAUCGUGAAAGGAUGACAAAUGUCGACCUAGUUUCAAAAUGGACUGGGUUCCAAAAGACCAACUGAUCCCGCUCUGUGUCGGAGCAGCUAUGGAGGCAUAUCAUCAGACUUCGGUUUGUUGGUAGUGGCUGUUCCAGGCACUUGAUAGGAGGCAUCUCUCAACUGUACAACAUUCAAACCUUUGUUUGAGAGUAUGUGUCCUUUGCGGGAAAAGAAGAAAGGGAGAGAUCACUCACGGGGUUUGUGCUUAAUGACAUGAAGAAUUUUCGGAUCUGUUCUGAGAUUACGCGUGCUGUUCUCAGACCUUCUGGAUGCAAAUUCAAUCGGUGACUUACGGUUUGAGUUUUCUUCUCUAUACUCCUGAGUUUUUCUUAAGCUGAUUCGCUUUAAAGACUAAUUUUUGUUUUAGGAUAGUUUAAAUUUGCGCAUUUACUUUUGUUUCUCUCCUAUGCACAAAUUUAGGGGGAGAAAAUUAGAAAAUAAAAAAACAUAAAAAUUAGAAAAUCCAAAAACAUAAAAAUUAGAAAAUCCAAAAACAUUAAAAAUUAGAAAAUCCAAAAACAUUAGAAAAUCAUAAAAACAAAAAAAAAAAUUAUUAUGCUGGUUAUAGAAUGUGCUUGAAGGAGAUGCUUUGGGAAGUGAUAUGAUUAUGUGAUAACAGGCAAUCUGAUUCUGUGUAACGUACCCAAAGUUGAAGGGUCUAUGCUCUGGUUUGAUGCGUUGGUAGGCACGAAAGAUUCUAAAUGGACAUGACUAGGCAUAGUUGAACUUAAGAAAUAAAAUGACUUGACAAAUCUUGACCUAGUUAGAUCCGUUUAGCCUGACAAUACGAAGCUUGGAUAGGUUGAGCAGGGAAAUAUAUAUGGGAAUCUACUCGUCACAUUAAAUGAACCCGUAUCUGGAACCGUGGUUUAAAUUUUCCUCGAUGUGCGGAUUCUGUCCUUAAUUCCGGUAUUGAUGGGGGCAACUGGUAAAUUUCGAUAAAUUAGGUCUGUAGAAAAUCAUUUUCUUUCUUUCUGUUUGUUAGUCAUAUGUUACCUCCUCUGCGUGAUUGGAAGAGAUCCGACCUAGACUGUAACAUAUGCAAAUCUGUUUCUCUGCAUAUUAUACAUACGUAUAUAUAUAUAUAUAUAUAUAUNUCUACUCGUCACAUUAAUUGAACCCGUAUCUGGAACCGUGGUUUAACUUUUCCUCCAUGUGCGGAUUCUGUCCUUAAUUCCGGUAUUGAUGGGGCAACUGGUAAAUUCCGAUAAAUUAGGUUUGUAGAAAAUCAUUUUCUUUCUUUCUGUCUGUUAGUCAUAUGUUACCUCCUCUGCGUGAUUGGAAGAGAUCCGACCUGGACUGUAACAUAUGCAACUCUAUUUCUUUGCAUAUUAUACAUAUACAUAUAUGAAAUUCCUCUUAUCUGUUAGCCAUAUGCUGUCUCCUUUGCGUGACUAACAAUCCGACCUGGUACACAGCAUAUGCACUAUAAGUGAUAAUACUCUGAAUUUGUCUUCUCCCCUAAUGAUGGUCUGUUCAUCCGAUGUAAGGAGUACUCUGGAAGUCCUUGAUUACCGGGGCAUAUCUGGAAGCGGGAAACAUGUUCCAGUACAAUUAAAAUUGAACACUCAAAUAUUGUCUAUAGAUCUCACUACUCAAUUUAGGUGGACAACAAUAUCCCUGGUCGUCGUCAGCUAAUGGUCCUUAAGAUAUAGUAUCUAGAAACUUAGGACCAAAUAUAAUAUCUAGGAACUUAUGAUCACAUUGUCUUGUCACUUAUAGUAUGUCCUAAUUUUUGUCACAAUUUUUCGUGUUUAAGUGGACAACAAUAUCGGCGAUCGACCAGACAAAGAUGUGAAUAUGAAAGGUACCGACAAGCGGAUAAAGGCUGUCUAAAAACUUUGAUCCCAAAUCAUUCUUAAAGUUAGAUAUCAUUUUUUUUUUAAAUUUGUUCAUAGUUUUCCUUUAUGCACAAAUUUUAGGAGGAAAAUUAAAAAUAAAUCAAAAAUCAAACAAAAAUCAGAAAAUUAAAAAAAUCCAAAAUAGUGUUAUUUCUUGUUCAGAAAAAUCAGAAAAUCCAAAAAAAAUAUUUUGUUUCUGCUUUAUUUUUUCAGAAAAUAUGAAAAAUCCAAAAAUAUUUUUUUUGUGCUAAUUUUUCUUUUAGUUUUGUUUUGUCUUGAAAAGUGAUUUCAGGCGUAGAUGAGACUUGUGGAGACUGUAUUGAAGAUCUUUUGAGCCAAGGCUUCAUCCGUGAGCAUCGAAGAAUUCGCAUUCGAAGGAUCAAGAAAUGAAGAUUAUUCUUUCGACAUUCAAACUGUCAAUCCCAGAAGCAUGGUGAAGCUAUACUUGAAGAUUAUGUGACAGAUUGCAUUGAGCUUCCUCAAUCAGUCCGCUGCUAUCUUGUACCUGCUGAAGAGAUCCAAAAGAUUAUUUCUCUCUGAUGUUCUCCCUGAAGAUUCUCAAGCUGAAAGAGCUAUCUUUCAAGAAUCUUUUCAAGAAGCCUCCUCACCCAACGUGCGUUCAAUGUCAAAUUUUGAAGAAAACCCCAACCGCUCAAGAUGAAUUCAGUUAUUGAAGAUUCAUAUGUUCAUCUUGAUGCUGUGAAGAAAUUUGAAGAUUAAUGCUGAAGCCAAGCUCCCAAUGAAGAUUAACAAGAAAAGGCCAGCUACUUUUUAGGGGGAGUUUGUUGGGCCAAUUAGAAAAGAAAGCUAUAAACCAAGGGGGGAGAUUGUUGGGUCAAAAAUAUGGUUUAUACUUUGCUUUUCUAGGAAAAUAUAUUUUUAUGUAAUGUUGUAUGUGUUUGCGGUUUGUGUGUACGGCCGUACAUGUGUGUACAGCCGCACACCCUGUGUACGGCCGUACACAGGGUGUGCGGCUGUACACAUGUGUAUGGAUGGAGGUCCAUAUAAAUAGAUGAGUGCAUGUGGGAGUGUACGGUUAGAGUGGAGGAAGAGGCUAGAGAAGAGAGAGAAAAUUAGAGAGAAGAAGUGUGUGUGAGAGAGAAUCUAUUGUAAGGAGCAUCAAUCAUAUCAUCAAUACAUUAGAUUCAAGUUGUUCUUCGUUUCCUUCUCUUCUAUAUUGAUCUGACAUCAUCCAAUUGAUUGAGAUUCCGCACCAUCAAUUGGAUCUGAUUGAUACACAAGCAAUUUUGGAGACUUACAUUUAAUAAAUCAGUUAGACUAGUUAUAUUUAAUUUUAAAUGUAACAAGAUGAAGAAAUGACCUCCUUGAAGACGACUUAACCAUUUAAGACCAUAAUCCAAACCAUAAGCUUCUACUUUUGGUUUUGGGAUUAAUUAUAGUCUUAAUGGUUUAAGUGUUGCAACUUUCAUAACAUGAAGAUUUAAGGUUCUUAUUCAAGCAAGAGUUGACUUGGCAAGUGGAAACUUGAAGACCUUUUGAAGUGUCCCUUAAGUCCUUUAGGAAAGACUUAAUAAUUCUUGUGAUGGCUCACAAAAAUUAUUACUAGACAUGACUUGGUUUAUACACAUUAUAAUGCAUGCUUGUGAUGUUUAUUUUGUGUUAAUUGUAUGUUAUGUUUUGUGUAUGAAAAUGAGUUUUACAUGCCAAACAACAUUUUAACAUAAGAUAAUAUCACUUGGAGUUUGAUUAAAAAAUAUUUAAAAGAUAACGUAAGAUGUUUAUAAAUGGAUAUUUAUAAAAACGUAUUUACCGGUUAAAACUCAAUUUUUUUUUUGUUGAAAAUAGUCUUAUUGUAAAACUUAUAUGUGACAUCCCCAAAAUCUCGGUCAGAAAAGACCGUUUUCAUUUAUGCUUUUUAAACAUUUUCAGAGUAAAUCCUUUUGAUUUUAAAAGAGAUGCAGAAUCUGUUCCUGAAAACAAAACAUGAUAAAAUAGAUCUUUUAUCAAAACAUUUCAUAAUCAAAAUCGUGAUGUCAUGUUCCGAUACAGACCAUAAAGCAUAAACGAUAACAUUACAAGUCAUUGAAAAAAAUAUAUACAUAUACAGACUUGUAAACAAAACAACUUGAUGAUUCAUCCAUCUUAUGCCCUUGCGCCACUUCCUAUAAUAGAAAUAAACUGAGUGGGUCAGGUUUGGGAGCCUGGUGAGCAUAUAGGGUUUUCAACCCACAAUAAAUAAUUAUAUUUAAUUCAACAAUCAACAAUAACCCGAUUACCCAUUCCCGUUAUCCUCACUUUACGUCCCUAAAACAACAUCUAUUAUAAGGGACCUAAUCUAGGAUUUUCAUAGGGACAGACAUUACUGCAAAGGGGCUUCCUUAGCAAUAAAUAUCCUAAAGGCAACCAUGAGGGGGAUAGAGUACACCGGUGAACACGUCGUUCACAACACCUACAGGUUAUGAGUCUGCUAGUGUUCCACAGAACUGUCUAGAAUAGUCUGUGGUCGUCAUCCAUACUCUGCUGAAUGACUAGAAUAACACCAACAACAUCGGGGCCUCUCAUCUGUUUAUUACACACCAACUAUCUACCCAUGUUCUACCCAACAUAUUAGUAGAUAAAAAUAUACAUUUUAUACAAAGUUUAAAACCUGUAUAGCAUGCUCGAUCAAUACAUUUUUCCACAUAAUAGAUGAGGCACACACACAUAACACGUAUUUCAUAGAGAAUAAAUCAGAUCUAUGAGAUAGAAGAAAGUGAAUAUACCUUCACACAUAUAAUCAACAAAGUAUACAUGUAACACGUAUUUCGUAUAAAAUACUUCAUAAUAAUGUGUUAGAAGAAAAUGACUACACACUCACUUGAUCAGAAGAUGAUCGGGCAGCACUACGGCUUGCAAAAGUAGUGUUUCUCCGUAGAUCUGGAAGAUUUUCACAAAAACCGGGCUCCUUGCGGGCAGGGCUUCGGCUCGGAAAUCUCACUUCUCGGGAUCCUCGGGGCUUUGGAUCUUGCUUUGGGGCUCGGGAAUGAUACCGGGGCUUUGGGAUAUGAUUGGCAUGAAAAACGAGGCAAAAACUAGAGAGAAGAAAGAGUUUGAACAAGAGAAAAUGGUUGAUCACGGUUUCUAUUUAUAGGCUGCUGGGUCUGGGAUUACGCUGGGCGUAACUUGGUUACGUUGGGCGUACUUUGACGUCACUGCGUGCGUCAAUUGGUGGCACUUGAGUAUUGGUCAGACAAGUUGCAUCCCUCUGAGUACGCUGGGCAUACUCAAAUUACGCUCGGCGUAAUUUGACUCGUCAAACUUCUAAAUUGCGUAACUUUCGCAUACGAGCUCCGUUUUUGACGUUCUUUAUAUCCACGCGUAGGUCAGACCAUACUCUACAACUUUCAUUUAGACUCCGUCGGCUAAUUUUGACUUUUAUGUUUAUUAUUUAUUUUNUUUAGAAGGCCGGGACAGAAAAACUUUAUUAUAAAUUCACAACUUCUUCGCCCGAUGUCCGUUCUCGCCUAACUUUUCAUCGUUUCGCUACUAAAAACGAGAUCUUCGAUUCUCGUUUAGAUUGUUUCGGCUAAAAACCACUCGAUCUCAAAUCGAGUAUUCGGGCUGCAUACUGUCAAGUCGAAACUUCAGAAAAUCAUAACUUCCUCAUACGAAGUCAGAUUUGGGCGUUCUAUAUAUAUUCGGAAACCUCGUUUCGGCCACUACAACUUUAUGCAAAUAUAUUGAGUUUAUUUUACACUUAAAUUUUGACGCUCAUUUUAUUUUUAAUUCAUUAAAUUAUAAUAAUUAAGAAAAUACACACAUAAUUCACAUAAUUCACAUAAUUCACAAAUAAUACAUUUUUAUUAUUUCAAAUUGGGUUACAAAGGUUAACCUAGACUAUUACAUUGCUAAAAAUGGCAAGCCCAGAAACACAGGCGUUACAAUUCUCCCCACCUUAUAAUGAUUCCGUCCCCGAAAUCACACAUCAACAAACAACUGCGGGUAGCGACUCAUCAUGUCACUCUCCGUCUCCCAGGUGAGAUUCGGCCCAUUCGUGUGUUUCCAUCGGACAAGCACUAACUCAACCAUCUUUCAUCGCAACUUUUUAGUCUUUCGGUCAACGAUUACCUCUGGUUCUUCAAUCAACCUUUUGUUCUCAUCAAUUCUCAACUCCGAAAGUCGAAUCAUGUCGGGAACUUCUCCCGUAAACUUCCUCAAGUAACACACAUAAAAAGUGUUAUGAAUUCCAUUCAGUUCUUCGGGUAGUUCGAGCUUGUAAACUGGGUUCCCAAUACUCUGAAGAACUUUAAACGGUCCAAUAAACCUUGGACUUAACUUUCCCCUUUUACCAAAUCUUAUAAGUCCCUUCCACGGCGAGACUUUAAGCAAAACCAAAUCUCCAAAUUCAAAAGUCAUCGGUCUUUGCUUUUUAUCAGCAUAGCUCUUUUGACGAUCCUGAGCUGCUAACAUUCUCUUCCUAAUUAUUUUCAACUUUUCAACAGUUUGAUGGACUAUCUCUGGUCCCAUAAACUGCUUUUCCCCAGCCUCAAGUCAACAAGACGGCGUAUGACACUUCUGCUCGUACAAAGCCUGAUAAGGUGCCAUCUUAAUGCUCGAGUGGAAACUAUUAUUACAGGAAGAUUCAACCAAUGGUAAAUGUUCAUCCCAAUUACCUUGGAAUUCCAGGGUACAUGCUCUCAACAUAUCUUCAAGUGUUUGUAUUGUCCGUUCGCUCUGACCAUCAGUCUGCGGAUGGUAAGCUGUACUUAAACACAACUUGGUACCCAAUUCCUCUUGUAGACUUUUCCAAAAUCGUGAGGUGAAACGACUGUCACGAUCCGACACANCACCGUGAAGCCUCACAAUUUCCUUCACGUAAGAAUUUUCAAGCUUUUCCAUAGACCAUUUCUCAUUAGCUGCUAUGAAAUGCACACUUUUAGUGAAUCAAUCAACGACCACCCAAAUCAUGUCGUGACCACUUUUUGUUCUGGGUAGUUUAGUGACAAAAUCCAUAGCAAUGUCUUACCACUACCUAUAGGUACAUGUAAAGGUUCUAAACUCUCGUACGGUUUCUGAUGUUGUGUCUUGANNNNNNNNNNNNNNNNNNNNNNNNNNNNNNNNNNNNNNNNNNNNNNNNNNNNNNNNNNNNNNNNNNNNNNNNNNNNNNNNNNNNNNNNNNNNNNNNNNNNAAACCGGGCUCCUCGCGGGCAGGGCUUCGGCUCAGAAAUCUCACUGCUCGGGAUCCUCAGGGCUUUGGAUCUUGCUUCGGGGCUCGGGAAUGAUACCGGGGAUUUGGGAUAUGAUUGGCAUGCAAAUCGAGGCUAAAACUAGAGAGAAGAAAGAGUUUGAACAAGAGAAAAUGGCUGAUCUCGGUUUCUAUUUAUAGGCUGCUGGGUGUGGGAUUACGCUGGGCGUAAUCUCCAAGUACGUUGGGCGUAAUUUGGUUAUGCUGGGCGUACUUCGACGUCACUGCAUGCGUCAUUCGGUGGCACUCGAGUAUUGGUCAGACAAGUUGCAUCCCUCUGAGUACGCUGGGCGUACUCAAAUUACGCUCGGCGUAAUUUGACUCGUCAAACUUCUAAAUUGCGUAACUUUCGCAUACGAGCUCCGUUUUCGACGUUCUUUAUAUCCACGCGUAGGUCAGACCAUACUCUACAACUUUCAUUUAGACUCCGUCGGCUAAUUUUGACUUUAAUUUUUAUUAUUUAUUUUUAGAAGGCCGGGACAGAAAAACUUCGUUAUAAAUUCACAACUUCUUCGUCUGACGUCCGUUCUCGCCUAACUUUUCAUCUUUUCGCUACUAACAACGAGAUCGUCGAUUCUCAUUUAGAUUGUUUCGGCUAAAAACCGCUCGAUCUCAAAUCGAGUAUUCGGGUUGCAUACUGUCAAGUCGAAACUUCAGAAAAUCAUAACUUCCUCAUACGAAGUCAGAUUUGGGCGUUCUAUAUAUAUUCUGAAACCUCGUUUCGGCCACUACAACUUUAUGCAAAGAUAUCGAGUUUAUUUUACACUUAAAUUUUGACGCUCCUUUUAUUCUUAAUUCAUUAAAUUAUAAUAAUUAAGAAAAUACACACAUAAUUCACAAAUAAUACAUUUUUAUUAUUUCAAAUUGGGUUACAAAGGUUAACCUAGACUAUUACAUUGCUAAAAAUGGCAAGCCCAGAAACACGGGCGUUACAUUAUAAAUACCCAACUUUAAAAUAUUUGAAACAGUUUAAAAGAUGGUUAAACAUUAUAUAAACUCCAUGUCUUUAUAAUAAAUAAGGAGUUUUUAUUAAAAAGAUUAAAAUCGCUUUAUAACGUUAUAACGACAAAUAAUAAAACUAGUGAUUAUUUAUUGCGUCGAAACUUAAUAUAUGAUAUUGGUGUUUUAAACAUAACGCAACAUGUUGAUAUUAUGUUUUAUGCAUGCUAAAUGAGAUUUAAAACAUAAGUAUCAUCACCCAAGUUUUGGUUUAUCAAAAUAUGACUUUUAUCAUAAGAUGCAUAAAAUUGAAUUUAUAAAAUAAAAUGAGUUUUUUCUACAAAUUCAUGAAGUCAUAAGUUUUUUUGAUUGUUAAAAGGAUGUUUAAAAUAAUGCUUUUAUAACUCAUUCAAAACUCCAAGUCUUAAGUAUAAAAUAAAGUUUUAUUAAGACUAUUACCGGUUCUUAAAACCGAUCUACGACUAGACUUUAAAAUACCAGAUUUUAGUUUAUAAUUGAUCGCGAUUAAUGACAAAUAAAACGAAGUUUUUUUUGGCACCAAAAGAACCUCAUAAUAGGUGAUAUGAAUUUUACAAAAGGGUACAUGAAUUGUUGGAUGCAUGCAAUAUUCACAAGACCAUGUUUUUAUAAACUAUAAUUGUAAAACAUAUAUAAAACAUUUUCUAAAAAUGCAAGUCAUUGUCGUCCUUUUGAAGAACAUUCGUUAUAAUUUGAGGGUUUUAGCGUCACGGGGUCACUUGGGCCUAGGAUUGGAUUUUGAUGUUCGGGAUAGUUUUGUAGUUUCUGGUUUCUAAACGGUCACUUUGUCCUAGGAGAGCCGCCGACUCCAACUACCGUCCAUGUACNCUUGUAUGCAUCAAAAACCCCAGGUUCAGCGGGGUAAAUGCAUUAAAAAGGGACAAAUUUUAGCGUAUGGUGCUGCUACAGUUGGUGGCGAACUCGCUUUGGGGAAAAACGUAUUAGUAGCUUAUAUGCCAUGGGAAGGUUACAAUUUUGAAGAUGCAGUACUCAUUAGUGAGCGCUUAGUAUAUGAAGAUAUUUAUACUUCUUUUCACAUACGUAAAUAUGAAAUUCAGAUUAACCAAGGCUCCGAAAGGGUCACUAAUGAAAUACCACAUUUAGAAGUCCAUUUACUCCGAAAUUUAGACAAAAAUGGAAUUGUAAUGCUGGGAUCUUGGGUGGAAACAUGUGAUAUUUUAGUAGGUAAAUUAACGCCCCAAAUGGUGAAAGAAUCAUCGUAUGCCCCCGAAGAUAGAUUGUUACGAACCAUACUUGGCAUGCGGGUAUAUACUUCAAAAGAAACUUGUCUAAAAUUACCUAUAGGAGGUAGGGGUCGGGUGAUUGAUGUGAGAUGGGUCCAGAGUUCUAAGACAGAUGAGACAGAGAAAACAGAAAGUAUUCGUGUAUAUAUUUUACAGAAACGUGAAAUAAAAGUAGGCGAUAAAGUAGCUGGAAGACAUGGAAAUAAGGGUAUCAUUUCAAAAAUUUUGCCUAGACAAGAUAUGCCUUAUUUGCAAGAUGGAAGACCUGUUGAUAUGGUCUUCAACCCAUUAGGAGUACCUUCCCGAAUGAAUGUAGGACAAAUAUUUGAAUCUUCACUCGGGUUAGCUGGGGGUUUGCUAGACAGACAUUAUCGAAUAGCGCCUUUUGAUGAGAGAUAUGAACAAGAAGCUUCGAGAAAACUGGUGUUUUCUGAAUUAUAUGAAGCCAGUAAGCAAACAGUGAAUCCAUGGAUAUUUNAAAAAAAAAAAAAAAGAAUCUAACGCUCUAGUCUAAUUGAAGACUUUCAACGCUCAUGCUAUUUGAAAGAGCUUUCAACAUGGAGUGGAGACUCCAUAACGUACACAAAGAGUAACCGCUCUAUGAAUAUCAUCCUAAUUCAGGUCUUGUUCCGCACUUAAACGGAUAACUCAAAGCCUUACCUUGACCAGGAAAACCUCGAUGACAUAAUCGUUUAUAGUCACUCACUGGAGGUUUGGAACCCUGAGUACAGUGUUCCGGGUGUAGCAGGAAAAGAGGCUGUACGUGAAAGGGUACUCAGACUAAAGUGCUAUUUCUUGGCCAUUGGAUCAGCAAGGGUGUGAUUCAGAUGGAUCAAGAGAAGAUCAGGUCUGUUUUGGACUGGGAAGUGCCGAAGAAGGAGAGAGCAGGCAGCGGUGGUGAAGCCGGAUGCUCGAAGCAAUUUUCUUUUUUUUACGACAAGACAGCUCAGGAGGAGUAGAAAGUUGCCACAACCUAGGAGGGGUUUCUAUUAUAGGAAGCCAAAAAACUUGAGCCUUUUUACAAACUUCUUAAAGGGGGAGAGCGACAGGACGGCUUCAAGGAGAACGUCGAGACGCCAUCAGUUUGGAGCGCGAGGCCAGCAGAGCUUGCUGCAGAGGAGAUCCGGUAACUGUUAUGAAUGUGGAGGAGUGGGGCAUUUUUCUCGUUACUGCCCCAAUGUUCAGACGGACGAAUGCUGCUGGGGGAGUGCAGAAUAGACCAGCUGAAGAUGGAAGAGUGCACGUUGUGGAGCCUAGAGCCCGGGAAGCUCUAAAGGUAAGUGAAAGUCGGAAACAUAGCGGGGGUUCUGAAGCUUAGGAGAGGAGACUGUUUCGCUGUCGUUAGAUUGUGUGGCAACGUGAGCCAACGCCAGCAGAAAGGAGGAGGAGACGGAAGGCUGUAUUCUGAAUUUAUGUCCGAAUUGGACAGUGCAAAGAUGAUCAUUGAUGCUGGGAGUUCGGAUAACAUAGCGUCCACGGAGAUGGUGGGUCAGUUGGGGCUGGGGAAGUUACUUGUUAGUUACAAUGCUACAAGUUGUUUCAAGUAGGAUGACUUGAUCGGAAUCUUAUGUGAUAAAGGUAAUCUAAGCAUGAAAGGUCCGAGACAUAGAUGGGAUAAACAUGUGAAGUUGAGCAAUAAUUGUUUAGGAUCCUAUAAUAUAGGAGUUACAUAUCAUAUGUAAUUGGUAAUCGCUACCUACCGAGUUUGAUUAAGUUUAUGGGAUAAAGGUCACCUAACCAUUUACUUGUUUCGUUACUUGGAUCCUAGACUUUAAUAAAUUAAUGUUUUACAAACAAUAAAAGGUAUUAAUUUUUAAAUACUAAAUAUUGAAAAUACUAAAUGAAACUUUGUUAAAUUCUGUUGAUAACUGUUAAUAAUUUUACGCCCUGCAAAAUCUCUCUCUAGUUGAGUUUCAAGAGACAGUAACAUUUGAUGGUUAUAAUUUCUAUAGCUGAUAUAAUAUCUUGAGGUUUUACCUUUAAGAUAAAUAGGAAUUAUAUAUACUGAAAGAUCCCAUACCUGAAUAAUCUCUGCAACCAGUUAGUCUGAUCAUGAUACUUUGAUAGAAGUAUUAUUGUGAUGAUGUGUCUCACAUCAUACUGAAGAAAUUAACCAUGACUUGCAGAAAGUCUUAGAUAAUUAUGAAACAUAUCAGAUGUCUCAUCAAAUAAAGCAAAUAUUCAAUCAGAACACUAGAAAUAGCUUCAAUUCUGUUCAAGCAUUGAAUAAAAGGAAGUCUAAGAGAUUGUGCACUCAUAUAGACUUAUAGUUCAGUUAAGGGAAAUACAACAUAAACCUAGAAAUCAAGAAAGGACUAAAUGAUUAGUGGUGCUUCUAUUAUGGAAGAAACUGGACACUAAAGGAGGAAUUGCUCAUCUCAUCUCAUCUAGCUGGAAAGUCUAACUUGGACAAGACUUCAUAUAUCUAUAUGAUAGAACUAUUUAUUUUUCCAUCAUUCACUUAAAUAUGUAAUACUUCAUGUGACACUAAUAAUUGAUAUUAUGUGUUGAUGAUUGGAAUAAAUAAUCAACUGAUUACAAAUGGAUUGUAUUUCGUGUUGAAGAUAUAACAAGUGUUGUUAUAGUCUUUAUUUAAACAAUAGAUGUUUUGUACCUAUCCUUAUAGGGACAUGUAACAACUGUAAUUUAUGAAUAAAUCUAGAUUUACUUAUCAUUUAAUGGAUAUUCACAUUCAUGUUCUGAAACGAUGUAUUUUGUGUUAAAGAAUAUUUUCUCGUAAUGUUAAUUAUGAAGUAAAUCUAUAAUCUUCAUUAAAUUAAUAGUUUUGAUCAUAACACCUAUAUAAUCAAAUUAUAUUUGAUUGGAACUUAUCUAUAUCAUAAUCAUCAUUAUAAUAUAAAUAAGAAAUACGUACUUCGAAAGGAUGGAAUUUUUUAAGGCAAAUGAGUUUGAUUCAUUUGAUAUAUGUAAAUCAUAUUUAUAUGGGUAGAUGAUUCACAAGUGUCUUUAUCUAUUAGCAAGGUUGCAGAAAUCGCUCGACGGUGAACUGGGGUCAAAGGAUUAAUCAGAUAGGCGGAGAUUAAUCGGGGGAUUAAUCGGAGACCAGUAAUUAUUAAAAAAAUUAUUAAAAAAGUAAUAAAUAUAACAUUAAUCAUAAGAAUAUAACAUUAAUAAAUAUAAAAUUAUAUCAAUUAAAAAAAUUAUUAAAAAAUUAAUAAAUAUAACAUUAUAACAUGAAACUAUUAUUACAAAAACUCCUUUGAUCCUUCAUACAUCACAUCUAAAUAACCAUAAAAACUGUGGGCUUUAUGAGUUGGAAAACUAGUGCAUCACCAUCAACUAGUUUAUGAACUUCAACAAAUGCUUUCCAUCCUCCACUAAAUCCUGUUUUCCUAGGGAGGUACUUUGUUGAACUUACCAGCCAAAACCCACCCGAAACAAGGGAUAUAAGCAUUGGUUUUAAGAAGUUAGGAAAAUCAGGUUGCAAUUUGGACUAUAGUUCUUUUGCUCUCUUUCUGAAGCAUACUCUCUAUCUUUAUCAGAGGUGUAGAUUCGAUUUAAAAAAUCCCUUAAAUGCCAUAAUUGAUGAAUACAUAACUCAAAUAGUCAAGAACAUGAAUCAGGAUUACUAGGUUAUUUAUAUUUAUAAAAACCAGACAGGCAAAAAAGUUCACCUCCUGCGCAUUCCCAAAGGUUCAAUAAGGAUCUCUCAUAUCAUUUCAAGAAAUAUCACUUAAUAAUUAGUAUAUAACAUAACAGAUUAAAUAGAUUAGAGCUUGAAAUUUGAACUGGAAAUAGAUUAGGUUCAAAAAUGCUUAAACAUAUUCUAGAAAUUGGUAGACGAGGAACAGAAGGAGACUAACCUGAAAUAAUUUCUAGAAAAUGCUUAAACAGACUCUAGAAAAAAAAUGCUUAAACAGAUUCUAGAAAAUGCUUAAACCUAUUUUUUCCCAAAUAAUUUCUAGAAAUUGCAAUACGUACAACAAACAGAAGAAUGAGAAAUGGAGACUGGAGACUAACCUAAAGGAGUAGUCGGAGGAUGAACAGAAGACGCCAGACGAGGAACAGAAGGCGUCGAAGCCUCACACAGAAGCUUCAGCAGAAGAUGACAAACUUCAGACGUUACUAGUGUGCUUCAGACGAACUUUAAAUGAGGAAGAUGGUGUUAUCGUGAACGGAGAAGAAGAUGACAAUGCUGUGAAUGGAGAAGAACAUGGUGGCGUUCGUUCCUUCCUUCCUUGAGUCCGAUAGAGAGAAUUUCAAAAUGAAAAAAAAAUUGAAUGUGAUGGAAUGGGGUAAUCGGAAGGAACCUUACCAUCAACUUUUACAGUUUGACAAUUUAGCCCCUAGAAAUUUUUAAUUUUUGUUGACCAGCAUUGACCGAUUAGAGCGCCUAGACCCGCCUAGCUCCGAUAAUGUCCGACUUUGAUCAAUAUUGACCACGUCUGAUUAGAGAGGCCAAUUAGCUAUAAUUGUCAUCAGUUGAGGACCACCAAGCACCCAGGCGCCGAUUAAUCAGCCGCCUAGGCCGAUAUUUGCAACGCUGUCUAUUAGUAGUUAAAGAACAAAAGGCUUGACAAAGAGUUAUACAUAAGUGAUAUGUGUAAUCUUUUUCAAUCCAUGAAUAGAUUUGGUGAUAGAUACUUAAUCAAUUUCACUGACGACUUUUAUUCAUUGUUGAUGAAACCUUUUGAUUUGAUCAAAUUUUUUCAUAGAGAAGAUUGAAAUACACAUUAAUGAGGUCAUCAUUAACCUUUCGAUGUGAUAAAGAAAAUGAGUUUUGUAAACCAAGUCUUCUAGGAACAUCUUAGGAAUUGUGGAAUCGAUUAACAACUCAUUCCGUCAAAAACACUCACUUGUUAUAAUCGUCAUCAGUUGAGGACCGCCAAGCGCCUAGGCGCCGAUUAAUCGGCCGCCUAGGCCGAUAUUUGCAACACUAUCUAUUAGUAGCUAAAGAACAAAAGGCUUGACAAAGAGUUAUACAUAAGUGAUAUAUGUAAUCUUUUUCAAUCCAUGAAUAGAUUUGGUGAUAGAUACUUAAUCAAUUUCACUGACGACUUCUAUUCAUUGUUGAUGAAACCUUUUGAUUUGAUCAAAUUUUAUCAUAGAGAAGAUUGAAAUACACAUUAAUGAGAUCAUCAUUAACCUUUCGAUGUGAUAAAGAAAAUGAGUUUUGUAAACCAAGUCUUCUUGGAACAUCUUAGGAAUUGUGGAAUCGAUUCACAACUCAUUCCGUCAAAAACACUCACUUGUUAUUAGUAUGGCCCUUGUGGCACAAGGUCACCUGGUCAAUUGAAUCUAUCUUUUGAUAUUCGAGGUAGCCUUCGUAUUCUCUAGUGGGAUAUGGUCACCUGGCUACUAGCUAAAUGUCGAUAGUACAAUUUUUAAAGAGGAUAAAACAUAGACCUUGCAGUCUAUUAUAUGAUGUUUUAAAAGAACUAUUUAGUUUAUAAAAUUUUGGAGUUAUGCUCACUACAACAAAUAUAUAUAUAUAUAUAUAUAUAUAUAUAUAUACACACACACACACAUAUUCCAACCAAACAAAUGGAUUAAAUACUUUCUUAGGCUAAGGACGUAUUGGUUUAUCCUUAUCUAAAAGGUAUGGAGUCAUUGAGCUCAUGUUAGACAAUAAGCUUACUCACUUUAGCAUCUAAUAAUUGCAUUUAUGUAGACUAUCCUAAAUGAUUGUUUAAGAUGAAGUCUCCAAUAAUCCCACAAAUUGUCCUUCCAGAAGACAAAUGCUUAGAAAGUUUAUUUUCUAAGUGGGAGCAAUUUGGAACUUUAAGAGCUAAAGAUCCAUAAACUAAAUGCAUCAUAGUUUGGAACUCGCAAGUUUUCAACUAUUGUUGAAUCCUCUCAAUAGUUGAUUAGAAACAAAUAAAACACUUAGAGAUGCAUUCAUGUAUGAUUAUCAAGUAUGGGCUUGAUUAAUUUUUCUCGAUAUAGUUUGACUAUAAAGAGUAAGUGAGUUUUCAAGGGAGAAAACAUACAUGAAUGAAAAUCUUCUCAGAUUAUAAGCUAACAUCUCAAAGUAAGAAUCUUCUAUCUUAUAAGAUAAUUACAUAGUGUAAUUUAAUUAUAAAUCAAGAAGACUCUUGUGUUUUUUACAAAGCUAAUGGGAGCGCAGUAACAUUCCUAGUCUUAUAUGUAGUCGACAUGCUAAUUCUUGGAAUAAGGAUGUAUACAGAUACAUCAUGGCAACUAAUAGGAUUAAGUAAAAUUACAUUAAUUGUCAAGGAUCUUAAAGAGCUUAAGAUAAAGGACUCUUAGAGAGAGUUAUAUUGUCAAAUACCAUAUGACACAAUUUUGCGCACUCCUCAAAAUCCUAGUAAAAUGUUUUGAAAUGGAUAAUAUGAUUGUAUUCCAUAUGUUGUUGCAAUUGGAGUAAUCAUAUAUGUCAUGAUGAUGCAUAAAGGCCAAAUAAAUCGAUGCACUUCUUGAUAUUUUUAUCUUCUUUCAAUGCACCAUCAUUUGUUUCCACGCCUACGUUGGACUAAACGUGUGAUUUAGAGUAUCAUGUGACUAAAUUUGUAAUUUAGUCAAAAACAACCUUUAAAUGCUCAGAAAGUUAGCAAAUUCUUCUAUUACAGAAGCUAAUUCACUUUCCAGAUGUUCUUGGAUCACAAAAAAGUGGAAACGAUAAACAUAGAUUCAGACAAGUAACACUAAUUAUUAAGAAAAAAGAAAUAGCUAAUACAUGGGUACCAUGACCAUGAAACGAUUUAACGACGACAUAUGUGUAGAAAGGUCUAGUCAUAAGGGUCCAUCUGAUAAAUCUACCGAAACCACCAUCCAACCCUUAAAAAAAACAAAUGGACAUCUUAUUAACCCCACCAAUCAUCUUGUUCUUGCAUUGUAUCUAUGCUCAGUAAAUGCAUAUUACGUACCAAUACAAUAUCAAACUCAAAAUAGAUGGGAUUUUUUUUCAGGUAUCAUUUUCAAAAACUUGAACGAUAAUAACCCUCAAUUACAAAUUUUAUUGAACUAUUUUGAUGUAUUCAAAUUCUCAAUAAAAAUAUUGGUAAUCUAAGAGUCUCUUGAAGGAUUAAAUAGUAUUUUGAAUACCUUUUAUCUAAAAUCUUUUAAGGGCAUUGUUGUCAUCACUACUUAGAUUAGUAUCAGGGUCAUUUUUUUUUCAUUCAGGAACUCUAAUUUGAACAUAUGUCGUAAAACUUGUAUGAAAACUUCUAGUAGUUUCUUGCAAACCAAUUGAGUUUGUAGCAUUUAAUCGAUAGAUAGGCCAACUUCUAUUCCAUAAAUGAUCCAAUAAUCAGAAAUACAAAACAAGCUUGUUACUUCAAACAUUCUAAUUCAACGACUAUUAUAUGUUCAAGAAAGAAAAAAAAUCAACAAAUUGUCUUAGCAAAACACCAGUUAAGAGUGUGUAUAUUACAUGAACCUUUCACAACAAUCUUAACCUCGUCAUUUUUUCAAUAUGUUCUGAUAAUUUAUACAAACUCCUAUAAAAAGAAAUCCACAUCUUACAAUGCUUAAACAACUUUAGGAAGAAAAAAAAGUAACACAAAUUUCUUAUGCUUUGAGCACUUACUGUUUUAUUUAUAAGAUUUUGAAUGUUGUUAAGCUGAACCCACAAAGGGAUCGAUAUGGAUCCCCUUCAUGUAAAUCGUCAUAGGAUUGUCCUUGACAUCUUACAACCCUGGUAACAGCUUAACCAAAUGAAAAUCAUCAAUACCAAUAGGGUAUGAAUCAAAUAAAAAAAUCCUAAUGCCCGAACAUGACUUCGAGUGCACAAGAAUCAUGAUACAGUCACUUGCAACAUACUGACUGCUUAAUCAGUGGCGGAUCCAUGAUCAAAGUAAAGGGGUAUCCCAAUUUUUUUCGGGUAACCUAAUUUUUUUCCUGGGGUACUUGGGUUUCCCCGGUCCGGUUUCGGUUUUAAACCCAAAUCUUAAUCGAAUCUUUAGCUAAUCUCAAGUCUUGUUAUAUAAACAUGAAGUUGAAGUAUAUUUUGAUACUUGAAUCGAUGUGGGAAUCAAAGUAGAUAUCAAAUAAAGCAUGAGGAUAACAUGUUUAUAUAAUAGAAAAAAAUGGUUGAGUUUACAUGUGUUUAGCGAUGUGGGAUAGAAUAGCUGGGAAAAUAAAACAAAAGUAAACAAAGAAUAUAUAAGAAGCGAGAAUUGAUCUUGAGACCUUUGCUUCAAUAAGCCAAUGCCUUAACCAACAGAUUAACUGUUUGUUUGUGUUUAUAAGUGGAGGGAUGAGUAUAUAUACAUUAUACCAAUUUUUUUUUGAGGGAUACGUAAACAAAAAUUACACUAUCGAAAUUUUGUUUAGGGGUAUCCCGGGCUACCCCGGGAUCCCCUUGGAUCCGCCCCUAUGCUCAGUGAUGUCUUUUAGAGAGACUCAUGAAUUCUCAAGCUUAUUAGUUGGCCUAAAAUCAUCAUGUGUAUCUGGAUCAUAAUGAAUGAUUUUUUUAUUGAAAAUUGUUGAGAACUGCUUUCAGUUUUGAAUUGGAAGAUAUAAAUAUCAUUGUUUAAUCCUAUAACAAUUCAACUUUUAGGGGAAGCAUUAAUUUUGAAAGUAGUUAUUGGGUUAGGUGUAAUAUUAACAUGCUUCUAUAUCUGAGUUUAAAUGUUGCAAGUUUCUUCAGACAUCACCUAAAAGUGGAUUUUUUUUGGCAAUAUUCAAUAGAUUAUACUUAUCAAUUAAGUAUAUGUGUUCAUAAUAAAGUAGAAAAUUAACAGAAGUAUGUUGGAGACAGUGGCGUAGCUAGGAUUUUGUUUCGGGUAUGUCAAAUAAUUUACAAAAUAUAAACAAGUAUCAACAUAUUCAAAUGUAACAAUAUAUGUAUUUUAAAGUAAAUUGAUAAUUUAAGUUGCAUAUGACGCUCUCUUACAUCAUUAAAAUCAUCUAAAAUGCAGUCUAAACUUAUAAUCUUAACGAUAUCUUUCUCAAUGUAAAGAACCAAACUAUUAGCAAUAAAAACAUCAUCCAUCAUAUAAUACAAUAAUUCAAAUAGUUAAUUCAUCGCAAGAAUUAACAACCUAAUUUAUAAAAUAUAUAUGAAUAUACGAUAUAAGUGUAAAAUCAAUGUAAACCUUAAUGUUAAAUUGGUAAGAACUAAGUCAAUUAAAAGUUAUAUAAGAUAUAAAUAAAAUAAACAAAUUAAUUAAAGUUUUGAGUAGGUAGGUCAUAUUAAUAUAUGAUAUAUAUAUGUAAUCUUGAUUAUGUGUAGGGUGGGCCAAGGCUCACUCUUGCCUCUACAUCCCUACGCCCCUGGUUGGAGAGAUGAAAAGAAGGCAAUGAACAACUUAAGAACGUGAAUUAGGGCAUAUGCCUUAAUUCUGUGACAAAUUAAAAAAAAAAAUACUUCAUCGACCGCCGUUAAUAUUUAACAAUAUAAUUCAAAAAUGUAAUAAGGACAACCUUGUAACCACCCGAUAUAUUUUAAUAUAUUCGAAUUUUCAUUCUUAAUUACGUUAAACUUUAGGCUAAAAAUAAGAGCACGGAAGGUCGUGUCACUAUGAGAGCAGGCUAACAUAGGUUAAAAUUUAUAGGUUAUAUAAGCUACCACGAUAUCAGAAAUAUAAAUUUCGCAACAAUCCGACUCAUUAUGGAUGAGAUAUGACUUUUAUAGUAAAUAAAUAUCUACCGUGCGUAAGAAUUUACAACAACGAAAACUACAAGGAGAAUGGUGGACUUUUGGAAAAGUUCACCAAAAGGACAAUUGUAGUGCUACUUAAAGUAGGAAUUAUGAGACAAAUAACACAUAAAUCAGAAACUGUAUGAGAGAGUUAUGGUUUUUUUUUUAAAUCAUAACGGUAAUAAAAAUUAGUCGAAAAACGAAAAUCAAAACUAGCCAAAAUAACCAAGAGGAAUGUUGUAGUAUACGUUGAUACCUACACGGAUAUAUAAGAGUAACUAGGCGAAUACCCGCGCGUUGCACAGAAACAUCUAUAUAGUUGAAAUCUUUACAAAUAUUUUUUUUAAACAUAACAAUAAUAUUGUUAAAUUUGAUAUAAUAAUUUGUAUACUAAGUUGAUAUAAUAUAUUGAUUAUUUUGAAGUAUAUGAUAAUAUAUACAUCUAUUAAAAUUACACAAUCUCAAUCUUUUGAAUAACCUUCACCCGCGGGUUACUCAUAAAUAAAAUUAAAUAUAGUAUAUGGUUUAAUGUUAUUUAUAGUUGUUGAUAUUGUUAAUUAAUUUUUUAAAAUUUAUUUGCUUGAUGUUUUAAUUUCUAUCAUUGUAAUUAUUUAAAACAUCAAACAUUUUUUUUUAUUUUAAAGGUAGCAAUAUAAUCAUUCAUAUAGAGUUAUUUUGAACUAUUUUAUUAUAAGUUAUUUUAAGCUACUUAUUUGAAAACUUUUAACGAUUAUAAAAAUAUCUUUAAAAAAUAUUUUAGUUAAAUUGAUAUUACAAUUUAGUUUUUGCAUUUAGCACUACAAUUUAUCACUUUUAACUAUUCACAAAAUAUUCUUUGGGUUUUUUAAGUGGAACUGAAAUUUAUAUUGAAGUUAACCCUGUAAUGUUAUAUUAAAUUAAUAAUUUAAUUAUUUUGUCCAAAUUGUUCAAAAGUUGUAGCUUUAAACUGAUAAUGGUUUACAUACCACUACAUAUUAGACCUAAUAAAUUAAGUAUAAUAUGUUAAAAGUUAAAAACAUAACGUUAUAAGUAGAAGAAAAUAUAUUUUUUUAAUAUUGAAAUUUUGUUUAUAUAUGAUUACACUUUAGAUUUUAUAUUUAUUUAACCUUAUUAACCAACUUAUAAUCAUUAUUAGAAUGAAAUUGAAAAGUCAUUGGAGUUUCAAAAGAAUGUGGUGAAAGAAAAAAUAAAUGAGAGGUUCAAAUGAAUGUGGUGAAAGAAAAAAAUGUUUUCAUUAUAAGUAUAUAGGUGAAUCCCGUGCGUUGCGCGAUAAUAAAAUUGUAUAGUUAAAAUAAUAACUUUUACCAAAUUAUUAUUUAAUAUUUCUACUUUGAAACAAAAUGUUAGUNGUAAAACAAACAUAUAGUUAACAUAUUAGUUUUAUUAAACAUUAUAGUUUAAUUUUUAACUCAUUGUGAUAUACACAAUUAUUUGAUAAUUUUAUAAACCGUUUAAUAUUGUGUAAAUUAUAUAUCAAAUGAAUGAUAAUAUAAUGGGUAACAAAAUAUAUGAACAAAAAUAUGAACUGCAAUUUUAGUAACAUAAAAAUAGAAAAACAUAUAUUAUAAUAUUUGUAUUAAAAAAGAUAUAUAUACAACGAAUAAUAAAAAAUAUGAAAAAUAAAUACUAUAACUUUUAAUAACAUAAAAACACUAAAACAUCUAUUAUAACAUUUAUAUAUUAACUCUUCAUAUUUAAAUCACAAAUCUCUUCAAAUACAUUAAUGUUUUUAAUGAGCAAAACUUUACAACCUUAUAAAAGAAAGGAAAAUAAAAAGUUAUUAGUGAUUACUAAUUAAUAAUCAUAAGUUAAAAACUCUUGAGUUGUAACUAAUAAAUAUACAUAAAUUAGAAAACUCUUGAGUUGUAGUGUGAGUUUCAAAUGAAUGCGGUACUUGGAAAUGUAUAUUUAUUAUUAUUAUUAUUAUUAUUAUUAUUAUUAUUAUUAUUAUUAUUAUUAUUAUUAUUAUUAUNNNNNNNNNNNNNNNNNNNNNNNNNNNNNNNNNNNNNNNNNNNNNNNNNNNNNNNNNNNNNNNNNNNNNNNNNNNNNNNNNNNNNNNNNNNNNNNNNNNNNNNNNNNNNNNNNNNNNNNNNNNNNNNNNNNNNNNNNNNNNNNNNNNNNNNNNNNNNUAUAUAUAUAUAUUCGUAAAUGUCAUAUGUAAUUCUUGUCAUAGUAAUAUGGAUAAAUUACUUUCAUAUCAAGAACAUAUCAUGAUAAGUCUAUCAUAAUUACAUAUCAAAUGUUCAAAAAUAUGUUAUCUUUUAAAUAUUGUCUUUUAAAUAUGUUGUGUAGGAUAAUCCAACAAAAAUAUAAUAGAAAAUAAACAUAAUCAAAAUAGAAAAACUACAAUAAAAUAAAUAAGAGCAUUUGGUAGUUGAAUAUAUAAAUAAAAAUGUUACAUAAACAUACAUUUAAAUCAAAAGAAAAAGCUAACAUUCGUCAACUUUGCUCAAACAAAAAAACCUAUAUCCAUUUUAUGAAUCUUCUUUCUCCAUUUAAUAUCAUUCAACCAUAGAAACUUGAUGAUAAUUAUUCACUAACCUGCAAUCAAAAUAUUUUUCUUGAAAAAUAAGAAUCAGAAAGAUAUUCCAAGCAAAACAUUGAUGUUUAGAGAGUCACAUUCAAGAUUGAGUAAUACACACAAAUCACAUAUAAAGAUUAAAUGAGAAACUGAAUAUAAAGAAAGAAUAGAAAAGCUUCAUUUGUUUUGGUUUGCAAGAAAAAAUUCAUAUUACAAUUACCAUCGAUGCGACAUAACUCAUUUCUUCAAAUCAUCAUAUUUGGAUCGACAUAAUCCAUUUCUUCAAAUCAUCAUAUUUGGAUCGUGAAUGCUUCGACUAAAUGAAAACUUUUGAAUCACAAUAUCUUCAAAUCCUUCUUACAUGUAAGAUUUUAUAUAACACAAAAGACACAAAGGAUUGACCUUUUUAUACUAAACUUUUCACUAAAUGCUAAUUAAAUAUAAUAUAAGUUAUAAAACUUUUGAGUGUUAAAUCAUAAUUUAGAAAACUUUUGAGUUGCAUUAGUUAAAAAAGGGGUUUCAAAUGAAUGUGGUUUGAGGAAGUUAAAAAAGGGAGUUUCAAAUGCAUGAGAUUCAAGAAAAAAUGUUAGCUUUAUAAGUAUGUAUGAUUGGAAAUUGAGUUCGUAUGCGAUAGUUACACAAUUUUAAAGUUGAAUUUUUACCGGCACAUGAGCCCGCACGCAGUGCGCUGUGUGCAAACUGACACACGAUUCGUUUGGAUACUGGGUGAUGUGGCACACGGAGAAGACGACAAGUGGUAAGAACUAAGUCAAUUAAAAGUUAUAUAAGAUAUAAAUAAAAUAAACAAAUUAAUUAAAGUUUUGAGUAGGUAGGUCAUAUUAGUAUAUGAUAUAUAUGUAAUCUUAAUUAUGUGUAGGGUGGGCCAAGGAUCACUCUUGCCUCUACAUCCCUACGCCCCUGGUUGAAGAGAUGAAAAGAAGGCAAUGAACAACUUAAGAACGUGAAUUAGGGCAUAUGCCUCAAUUCUGUGACAAAUUAAAAAAAUACUUCAUCGACCGCCGUUAAUAUUUAACGAUAUAAUGCAAAAAUGUAAUAAGGGCAGCCUUGUAACCACCCGAUAUAUUUUAAUAUAUUCGCAUUUUCGUCCUUAAUUACGCUAAACUUUAGGUUAAAAAAUAAGUGCACGAAAGGUCGCGUCACUAUGAGAGCAGGUUAACAUUUAUAGGUUAUAUAAGCUACCACGAUCUUAGAAACAUAAAUUUUGCAACAAUCCAACUCAUUAUGGAUGAGAUAUGACUUUUAUAGUAAAUAAAUAUCUACCGUGCUACUUAAAGUAGGAAUUAUGAGACAAAUAACACAUAAAUCAGAAACUGUAUGAGAUAGUUAUGAUUUUUUUAAAAUCAUAACGGUAAUAAAAAUUAGUCGAAAAACGAAAAUCAAAACUAGCCAAAAUAACCAAGAAGAAUGUUGUAGUGUACGUUGAUACCUACACGGAUAUAUAAGAGUAAUUGGAAAUGGAGUUCGUAUGCGAUAGUUACGCAAUUUUAAAGUUGAAUUUUUACCGGCACACGAGCCCGCACGCAGUGCGCUGUGUGCAAAUUGACACACGAUUCGUUUGGAUACCGGGUGAUGUGGCACACGGAGAAGACGACAAGNUAUAUAUAUAUAUGUAAUCUUAAUUAUGUGUAAGGUGGGUAUGUGUAGGGUGGGCCAAGGACCACUCUUGCCUCUACAUCCUUACGCCCCUGGUUGGAGAGAUGAAAAGAAGGCAAUAAACAACUUAAGAACGUGAAUUAGGGCAUAUGCCUCAAUUCUGUGACAAAUUAAAAAAAAUACUUCAUCGACCGCCGUUAAUAUUUAGAGAUAUAAUGACAAAAUGUAAUAAGGGUAGCCUUGUAACCACUCGAUAUAUUUUAAUAUAUUCGAAUUUUCGUCCUUAAUUACGUUAAACUUUAGGCUAAAAAAUAAGUUCAUGAAAGGUCGCGUCACUAUGAGAGCAGGUUAACAUUUAUAGAUUAUAUAAGCUACCACGAUCUCAGAAAUAUAAAUUUCGCAACAAUCCGACUCAUUAUGGAUGAGAUAUGACUUUUAUAGUAAAUAAAUAUUUACCGUGCGUAAGAAUUUACAACAACGAAAACUACAAGGAUAAUGGUGGACUUUUGGAAAAAGUCACCAAAAGGACAAUUGUAGUGUUACUUAAAGUAGGAAUUAUGAGACAAAUAACACAUAAAUCAGAAACUGUAUGAAGGAGUUAUGAUUUUUAUAAAAUCAUAACGGUAAUAAAAAAGUAGUCGAAAAAGGAAAGUCAAACCUAGCCAAAACAACCAAGAGGAAUGUUGUAGUGUACGUCGAUACCUACAUGAAUAUAUGAGUCGUUGAAAAAGGAGUUCGUAUGUGAGAGUUACGGAAUUUCAAAGUUGAAUUUUUACCAGCACACAAGCCCGCACGCAGUGCGCUGUGUGCAAACUGACACACGAUUCGUAUGGAUAUGGGGUGAUGUAGCACACNNNNNNNNNNNNNNNNNNNNNNNNNNNNNNNNNNNNNNNNNNNNNNNNNNNNNNNNNNNNNNNNNNNNNNNNNNNNNNNNNNNNNNNNNNNNNNNNNNNNNNNNNNNNNNNNNNNNNNNNNNNNNNNNNNNNNNNNNNNNNNNNNNNNNNNNNNNNNNNNNNNNNNNNNNNNNNNNNNNNNNNNNNNNNNNNNNNNNNNNNNNNNNNNNNNNNNNNNNNNNNNNNNNNNNNNNNNNNNNNNNNNNNNNNNNNNNNNNNNNNNNNNNNNNNNNNNNNNNNNNNNNNNNNNNNNNNNNNNNNNNNNNNNNNNNNNNNNNNNNNNNNNNNNNNNNNNNNNNNNNNNNNNNNNNNNNNNNNNNNNNNNNNNNNNNNNNNNNNNNNNNNNNNNNNNNNNNNNNNNNNNNNNNNNNNNNNNNNNNNNNNNNNNNNNNNNNNNNNNNNNNNNNNNNNNNNNNNNNNNNNNNNNNNNNNNNNNNNNNNNNNNNNNNNNNNNNNNNNNNNNNNNNNNNNNNNNNNNNNNNNNNNNNNNNNNNNNNNNNNNNNNNNNNNNNNNNNNNNNNNNNNNNNNNNNNNNNNNNNNNNNNNNNNNNNNNNNNNNNNNNNNNNNNNNNNNNNNNNNNNNNNNNAUAUCAAAACCUCGGGAUGUCAUGUUCCGAUACAGAUCAAAAGCAUAAACAAGACAUUAUAAGCCUUUCAACAGUUAUUUACAACUACUGGCCUAUAAUCCAAAAAUCUCUCGUCGUCCUCCGACUAUGCUCGGGGUCCACUACCUGUAACAUAAAAAGCUGAGUGGGUCAGGCUUGGGAGCCUGGUGAGCAUAUAGGGUUUUCAACCCACAGUAAUAAUAAACUUUAUUAAGUUCACCAAUCAACAAUAACCCUGAUUACCCGUUCCCGUUAUCCUCACUUUACGUCCCUAAACUCUUUUCACAAGGGACCUAGCCUAAAGAAUAUCAUCGGGAUGGACACUACUACUAAGGGGUUUCCUCAGCCAUACAUGUCCUAAAGGCAACCAUGAGGGGGAUGGAGUACAGCGAAUGAACACUCUUAGUUCAUUAACACCUACAGGUUGCAGACCUGCUAAUGUUUCCCACUGGACUAUCUAGAAAGUCCGUGGUCGCCAUCCAAACUCCGCUAGAUGACUGGAUCUCAAAACACAUCGAGGUCUCUCAUCACUUUUAUUUUAUCACACAUCACUAUCUACCCAUGUUUUACCCAACAUAUUUGUAGAUAAAAAUACAUAUACAUUUUAAAACUUGUAUAAAACAUUAAUUCAACAGUCACCUCAGUUAAACAAUUAAUAUAAUUACACGUAGCACGUAUUUCAUAUAAAAUACUUCAUAUCUAGGUGUAAGAUGAAGGUGACUAUACACUCACAUGAUUUGAUGAUAAUCGGGUAGCAAUUCGUUUCCUAAAACGAUCGUUUCUAAUAAAACCAGGAGUUUUAUUGAGAAACCGGGCUUUGCAAAGGUCGGGCUUCGAAACCGAAAAGAUAAAUUUUCCGGGCUUCUCAGGCACUUCGUGGAGUAUUCUGGGGCUUAGAAUUGAUAUCGGGGCUUUGGGGGAUGUUAAGAUGAAAGAAAUAUGGGUUUAAGGGCUAAAAAUGACAAGUUUCCAAAAUAUACCCGGGAGGUCUCACACCCUUCUAUAUAUAUGGGCGAGGCUUCUGAUCCAAGGGCUUAGAAGAGGCCAUGCGUCGCAGAUCCGAAGCUCGCAGGGGAUGGCUCGCACAUGGUCUGCGCAUGCGAGGGGCUCGCUGUCGCCACCUGAUUGGACUGCGGUCUAGUCGAGGCUUCGGACGUGGCUCCUUCUGCGAGGCUCGGACGGAUGAGUCACUACACACGCGUCGGAUGCGAGGCUUGCCACCGAAGUUUAUACGUGUAGUCAGCGAAUUGGACCGCAGCUCGGACUCGGAAGGACAUAACACGCCUCACCAGGUGGCUUCGUGACUCAGCAGCUCGGAUACGUAGCACGUUUUGAGCGAGGGUGACGUGGCCGAAGUCCACAUGUGUGAAAUUCCUCUGUUUUGGGGAUUAAUUUUUAUUCUUAAUUAAUUAAGCCCUAAUAAUUAAGCAUAAAACACAUAAUUCACAUAAUAUUCACAUAAUUCCUUUUCAUUUCUUCAAAAUGAGUUACAAAGGUUAACCUAGACUAUCAACUCAAUAUAAAUGCCUAGGCUAGAAACACGAGUGUUACAAUUCUCUCCCCCUUAGGAUGAUUCCGUCCCCGGAAUCACAUAUCACUAAACAACUGCGGGUAGCGACUCAUCAUGUCACUCUCCGUUUCCCAAGUGAGAUUUGGUCCAUUCGUAUGUUUCCAGCGCACAAGCACUAAAUCGACCAUCUUGCGUCAUAACUUCAUAGUCUUACGGUCAACGAUUGCCUUAGGUUCUUCGAUCAACCUCUUGUUUUCAUCCAACCUUAACUCAGAAAUCGGAAUUAUGUCGGGCACAUCUCCUGUGAACUUUCUCAAAUAACACACAUGAAAGGUGUUAUGAAUACCCUCUAGUUCUUCCGGUAACUCUAGCUUGUAAGCUUGAUUCCCGAUUCUCUGAAGAACUUUAAAUGGUCCAAUAAACCUUGGACUCAACUUCCCUCUCUUACCAAAUCUUAUAAGUCCCUUCCACGGCGAGACUUUAAGUAAAACCGAAUCUCCAACAUCGAAGGAUAUCGGUUGUCUUUUCUUGUCAGCAUAACUC